AUCAGGGUUGCUUUUGAUGCAAUGGUGUAGUGUUUGCACUUUAUAUUAGGUACGACCCUAUGGGUAAUUUUGUCUCGCUGCAUCCAGCUCUGCCAAAUUAGAACUGCUCCAUGCAUUUUUUUAUGUUGGUAAGAAAGCUGCCAAAUUCGUUGAUCAGAAGAAGUAUUACAAAUAACACCUUCAGAGGAGGAAUGUACCGCAUAAGGCGAGUGCCAAAAGAAGAAGAAUGAAAAAGGGAUGCCACCUUUAUAAGGAAAACCAGCCGAAAACGUAAAACAACACCUAACAACUAGGCUAGAGCACCACAACAAAUACAUAACCUCAGAAGACCAACACCCCACAACACACCCGGGCAGGCACUCGAACGCUUUCGCCGCUACAAAAGUGCAAACCAAAAACCGUUGUAUCAAUCCGAGCUGCCACAAGCAUAUCCGCGAACUCGACUACAUCCAAGAGGAACACUAUAUCCGAUAGAGCAAACAUAUGCCACUUCAAUCUCGAGAGGUUGGCGACCAUGACUUGCGUGACGAACUUGCAUGUAAAGGGUCCUUCUGCUGUUCUCACGGUGAUGCUACACAAGCCGUCGCCAACCACCAACAUGAGCACCGGGUCCCUCUAGCCGAGUCUACCAUCAAGACGAUGUCCUGAAGAGGAGAUACGACGCCGAGCAAAGCCGAUAGCGUCAUCAUCGCCCAAUCCGCAAGAGCAGAUCUAGGGUUUCCCCCUAAGAAUGUCGGGCAUGGGAGGGGAGGGGCUGCAACGUCGAUGUCUCUAACAAAGGGAAGGUGCCCGAAGGCACCGCCAUCGACUGCUCCGGCCACAGCCAAACCAGAGACCGGACCAGCCUUCCUACAAACCAAAUCCAUAGCGGCAGAAGCACUUUUUCAUAUCACGCCCUCGGGCCGCGCCCAGUAGGUCGCCAGCCAAAACUACCCCGACAAAUCUACAUCGGGGAAGCGGACUGCCCGCCACCGCAACGGGCCAGAUCGGCUUCGGCCCCAGCCCACCGCGCCCGAGCACCAGCCCCUCUCCUUGCCGUGCCUGGCAGCACAACACCUCCCCUCUGCCGCACGCACCGACGAGAUCCGCGUGAGCCCCACGCCGGCGACGGCACCAGAUCCGCGCCCGCCCACACGCAGUCCCGUGCCGCGCUUGCUCACGCACCACCAGCAGCCGACAGCCCGCCCCCUCCUCCGUGCGCACCGACGGCGAGUCGCCGAAGACAGACCGCGCCCUGCAUCUCCGAAAAGUGGGCCACCACCGCGCUGCCCGAGCUCUUCGCGAGAUGGAGAAGGCCCCGCCGUCGCUGCCGCUGCACGGGCUUAGCCCGGCGGCGCCAUCCGGCGGCGGCGGGGGGUNNNNNNNNNNNNNNNNNNNNNNNNNNNNNNNNNNNNNNNNNNNNNNNNNNNNNNNNNNNNNNNNNNNNNNNNNNNNNNNNNNNNNNNNNNNNNNNNNNNNNNNNNNNNNNNNNNNNNNNNNNNNNNNNNNNNNNNNNNNNNNNNNNNNNNNNNNNNNNNNNNNNNNNNNNNNNNNNNNNNNNNNNNNNNNNNNNNNNNNNNNNNNNNNNNNNNNNNNNNNNNNNNNNNNNNNNNNNNNNNNNNNNNNNNNNNNNNNNNNNNNNNNNNNNNNNNNNNNNNNNNNNNNNNNNNNNNNNNNNNNNNNNNNNNNNNNNNNNNNNNNNNNNNNNNNNNNNNNNNNNNNNNNNNNNNNNNNNNNNNNNNNNNNNNNNNNNNNNNNNNNNNNNNNNNNNNNNNNNNNNNNNNNNNNNNNNNNNNNNNNNNNNNNNNNNNNNNNNNNNNNNNNNNNNNNNNNNNNNNNNNNNNNNNNNNNNNNNNNNNNNNNNNNNNNNNNNNNNNNNNNNNNNNNNNNNNNNNNNNNNNNNNNNNNNNGGGGGGGGGUGGUGUGGGGUGGCUGCGGCGGCGAUUUACGGUUCUCCGAGGCCGCUGCUGGGAGCGACACGGGAGUCCGCCCUAGGGCUGUGUCGUCUCGCGAUGCUGAUGGGGUGUUUUUACCCCGCUCCCCUGAUGAGUGUGCCCAUAUCCACUCCCAUGCAUUUGAGUAUGGCCAAGGGUAACGUUGCAUAUCUGUGUGUCCACAAUGAGAACAAGAGGUUUCAAAGGAACUCAUACUGUAGCCUUUAUCCAGUACAGCAAGCCUACUCCAAGAAUCAUCACAUGUAAACCAGACAGGAAGAAUGGAAUCCAUCUUUAUCAAAAGAAAGGAAACUAAAGUGUAAAGGCACCAUGCAUGUACGUAUGGAUGCGUAUGCUUCACAGAGAAGCAAAGAAGCUUCUUUUACGCCUGCUCUCCAUUUACCUUUGCUUGUGAGGAUGGAACUGGAAUCAAUGGCAACAACCUGAAGCAAAGAAUCUCAAUCCAUUCCUCUUCUUCAGUGCUCUUCUGUUAGGUUGGAGCAUGAUGCAGCCAGAGUCAUCCAUUCCUCUUCGCUGCUGGUAAUUCUUGUCUUUCUCUUGCAUUCUAGCAACUGGAUCGUCAAUUGAAGUAGUUCUUAUUUUCAUUUUCUUUGCGCUGCAGAUUGUACGUGCUUACUCGUUUCGGAGAGUACUGUUUUUCCAACUCGAGGGCGUCCUGAUAGCCGUCUAGGACGUUGUUACCGCAAAGGUUUGCUUCCUUCACCUCUAUUGUUCUUUGUUCCUUGACUCUAAUAUCUGCUGAAGCUCCAGCACUAACACCCAGCUUAAACCCUUAACAGUACUGCCCGCGCUAAUGGAGGCCACGGCGCUCAGCAUUGGAAAGUCCGUGCUGGAUGGAGCGCUUGGCUAUGCCAAAUCCGCUCUCGCGGAGGAGGUGGCUCUGCAACUUGGAGUCCGGCAAGAUCAAGUCUUCAUCACCAACGAGCUCGAGAUGAUGCAGGCUUUCCUUAUGGCCGCCCACGAAGAGAGAUUCGAUGACGACAGGGUCGUCAAGGUGUGGGUGAAGCAAGUCCGGGACGUGGCCUAUGACGUCGAGGACACCCUCCAGGAAUUCGCAGUCCGCCUCAAAAAGCAGUCUUGGUGGCGUAUCUGUCGCACACUUCAAGAUCGGCGUCGUGUGGCCAAGCAGAUGAAGGAUCUCAGAGCCAAUGUGGAGGAUGUCAGCCAGAGGAACAUGCGCUACAACCUCAUCAAGGGCCCUGGCUCAAAGGCUGCCACUUUUGGUGACAACUCUGGCAUCACUAGUGCAAAGAUGUCUGCCAUGGAUGAAGGGAAGCGGCAACAUGAUAAAGCUAAAGUAGAUCUGAUUCGUUUGAUCAACAAGAAGGAUGACAACCUUAGAGUCAUCGCUGUGUCUGGGACAAGUACUGGCCAUCUUGAGAAGAUGUCCGUCAUUAAAAGUGCCUAUGAAGAUCGAAAUGUACACAUGAAGUUUGAGUGCCGAGCCUGGAUCACUGGGUUCAUGUGUCCUUUCAGUUUAUCUGAGUUCCUGCGAAGAAUUAUAGAACAGUUUCAUGUAAAUUUUCUUCAGGGAACAGGGGACAAAGGAAAAACAACGUUAGAGAUACCAGUACUGAGGAGGAUGGGGAUGAUGAAUGAAGAUGAUUUGGUUGAUGAGUUCACGAAAUAUUUGAGUGAGAAGAAGUAUCUGAUUGUACUUAAUGGCAUAAACACCAUUAAAGACUGGGCUCACCUUAAGCCAUGCUUCCGGGAUAGCAAGAAAGGAAGCCGCAUCAUAGUGUCCGCAGAGCAAGUUGGAGUUGCAAGCUUAUGUGUUGGACCAGAUGAUGCAGCGCCAGAGUAUAUGCGGUUUUUUGCCGAUGAGAAUAUUUACGCUUUCUACGAAAAGGUAAAUUGAGAUCCUGAAAAUUGUUUUUCUAAAUCUAUUACAUUGUUAUUUCAGUUCAAUUUCCUAGUUAAAUGAAUCCCACUUCAAGUUGCAUAUUGAUUAAGGUUCAUGCGAAGAAACGAAACAUGAGAAAUAAAAUAAACAAACAACAAUAUCAGUAAAAAAUCGUCUAAUUUCAGUCAUGAUUCACUAAAUAUAAAAUGCAAAAACUGCAUUUUAAGUAAGAUAGUUUCAGUCCACGUGAAUUGCAUUUCAGAACCAUUUAACUCAUACAUAUACUCCCUCCGUAAACAAAUAUAAGAGCGUUUAGNNNNNNNNNNNNNNNNNNNNNNNNNNNNNNNNNNNNNNNNNNNNNNNNNNNNNNNNNNNNNNNNNNNNNNNNNNNNNNNNNNNNNNNNNNNNNNNNNNNNNNNNNNNNNNNNNNNNNNNNNNNNNNNNNNNNNNNNNNNNNNNNNNNNCUAAACGCUCUUAUAUUAGUUUACGGAGGGAGUAUUUAGGAACUAACUCCACAUAACCAUUUAGAUCAAUACCCCAGUAUUUUCACUUAAUUUCAAAAUAAUUAGAGAACUACUCUUCGCAAACUGUAUUUUCAGAAUAAUUGCAUAACCAUUGAACACCGCCUACGAGAUUUAUUGAUUACAUCACACAUGUCAAAGCACAGUGAAUUCAUUACCAUUACCUGGCAGUAAUGCUAGAAAAAUCAUGUUUGCGGUGUGCUGCCAUAUCCACCGCAAGCAAGCAAGGGGAGUAAGGGCAUCCAUUCCCAUGAAACUUAGGGGUUAUGGCUGCAUGCAUCUCCCAGAUGCAGAGGCCAACGGUGCAUAUAUAUAUCCUAUCACCUAGGAUUUCUCUCCUUUUCAACACACACACACACACAUAUAUAUAUAUAUAUAUAUAUAUAUAUAUAUAAUACAUCCUAUCACCUAGGAUUUCUCUCCUCUUAAUUAUAUCCAUCCAACGCACAAAUGGGAGGGAAACCGAGAGAAAAUCUGUGUUUCCAAUGCGAUCUAUACAAAUUUAAUUAUGGGGCCUAAUAGGAAAGGACGUGCUUAAGUUGCACACGGGCCUAAUACACAAGGACGGAGGGAGUAUAGUAUAAUGGACUAAAUUAAAAAAGAAAAUAUUUUUUCAGAUAUUUAAUUAUUGUUUAAGAAUGAAUUUUAUCAUGUAAAAUUCGUAAGAUUUGAAACUCAGAUUAAACAUCAUCUUUGACAAAAUAAAGCAAUUAACACCUAAAUCUUUCCUUGUGUCUAGGGUUCCCAAGAUGGCACAGAUUCAAUGGAGGCCGUGUCUACUUCAAAUGCGGAUACUGCCAGUGGUGACAGCUCCGCCAAUAUGAAGACACUCAAUCGCACACCGACCUUGCUCGCAGCUUUCAAGGAAUCCAAGCUUAUUGGGCGAGAGACUGAAAAAAGAGAAAUUGUUAAAUUGGUUACAAAUGUAGACAGCCGACAACUUGAAGUGAUCAGUGUGUGGGGAAUGGGUGGUCUUGGAAAAACCACACUAGUCAGAGAUGUCUACCAAAGUCAAGACCUCAGCAGGGAGUUUGAGAAGCGUGCUUGUGUGACAGUUUUGCGUCCUUUCGAUCUUGACGCUCUCCUCAAGGAUUUAGCUACACAGUUUGGCUACAACGGUGUCUCAGAAAUGGAUACAAAAUUAGCAGGACAUAAAUACUUGAUUGUUCUUGAUGAUCUAUCGUCCAAUGCCGAAUGGGACAUUAUAAUACCACAUUUUCCUGCGAUGGAAACAUCAAGCCGGAUCAUAGUCACCACAAGGGUAAAGGGUAUUGCUAUACACUGUUCAAGGAAACAUGAAAAUGUGUACGAGCUGCAAAGUCUAGGACAUAGCAGUGCACUUGACCUCUUCACCGAAAAGGUACACAUAGUGUCUUAACCAUUUGUUUGGAUAUUUCUUUUAUGGAAAUCUAUACUUCCACUGUACAACAUUAUGUGACACCUACGUAUUUUGAGGUUCAGUUUGACAAUCAAUUUGAUGAACAAAACAUGGUUAAGUGCGACUAAAUUAUACCAUUAAACUUGUAUUGAAAAUUAAGUUGUCAUUAAUCUAAUUUAGUUCAUAACAUUUGAUUCGUGUAUCAAAUUGAUAAUCAAAGUUAAACAAGAAAUGCAAUUAUGUCAUGUAAAUACAGAUGGACCGACUAGAUUUGGACAGAAUAUGCACAUGAUUGAUCAUAACUGAUAUAAAUACAUGCCUAUAUCACUAAUGUUAAUAGCUGCCGGAAAAAUAUAUGCUGUUUUUUUUUAGAAAAGGGGGUUAAACCCUGGCCUCUGCAUCAAUCGAUGCAUGCAGUCAUCUUUAUUAAUUAUUCCACCAAGGUUUGACAAGAACAUACAUCAAUCUAUUCGAAGCCACAACUCAUACCUACAAACUCGAUAAUAUGGAGUGCUCUCACUCCCCAUAUCUAAAACUGGUGUUGUCAUCAAUCUAUCCACAUAACGUAUCAGGACCAACAGCCGGUGCGGCAGACCUAAAACGCACACACAAGUUUUAGAAGCCGCCAUCAUCAUCGGCCCACUGACCCAUCUUCAGGAGAGAGAUUCGCGUCAUCUUUGCGAGUACGAACAUCCAUCGACGCCACCAUGGCGCCCAACGGCGCCACCGCCUUGCGCUCAUCCGUUCAGACGGGAAGAAUCUGGAAGAACCGUCAUGCAUAGCACCCGCCAAUCAGGCACGACUCACCGUAGCACAUGUCGGCCAGGCAUGACUUGACAACUCCACCAAAAUUCCGUGCAAGACGAAGCCGCUCCACCUCCAGCCUUUGUCAUUCAGUGCUGCUCCACAAACGAUUCUCCCAAGAGAGAAACGGCACCACGGUACCGCCAUGGUCCGAUCUGGAAGACAAGAUCAUAGGGUUUCCCCCGAAGGAGUGCCCACCACCAACAACAGUCAAGGACCCAUACAGUGCCCACCGCCACUCAGCCCUCAAGGCGACGCCUUGAGGAAGGUCACAGCGUCAAGGACGUCGCCUCCUCCCACCGGAGUUAGGGUUUUCACCCAAGAGGCAGGGAGGUGGGAAGUGGAGGAGCAGACGUAGACCGGCGUCUCCAAGAAGAACAGCAGCGCCCUUGAGCGUCGUUGUCGGCGUGGUCGGCCGUGGCUGUCCAAGGGGUUCCCCCAAUCUGGAUCUUCCUCCACCAGCUUCAUCCGUGACCACACCGGCACUGCCAAGAACCCGCAGGAGAGAAGCACACCAAUGAAGGCCAAAAAACAGCGACCGGUUCAGACAUCGCCGGCCGCCAGAGCAGCAGCCCCUGUCCACCCGCAUCCAAGCAACCACAUCGGACCAAGCGACCACGAGCCAGCACGCCGGAGCGACCACCACGUCGGAGCCUCCUCCAUUACGGAACAAAGGAGAAGCAACCAACCCACGCAACCCCCGGCCCUCGCCGCUAGGAGCGCCCGCAGGAUAGAUCUGGCCGCGCCCCCCGCCACCACNCCACCACCGGCACCCCCCGCACACACCUUCAUUCAGCCCGCUGCCUGAAGCCCGGCCAGCGCGCCGGCGCCCACCAGCACCAUCUCGCCGCCGCGUCGCGACGCACGGCGUCCGCGCCACUCCCACGCCAGAGAGGGCGGCGCUGCGUCGACCCUCAGUACGCAGGGGAACGAAGGGCCCGGCCGAGCCCCAUGGCGCCGGCGAGGGAGGGGAAGAGGCCAUUUUAAUUAGUAUGAGUACCGAGAUAAACAUGAUCCUUAAUUUUUUUUUAAAUGAGUAUCAAGAUAUUUUUUAAUGAUUGGUUUCAUCACGCACCAAACUUGUUCUUUAAUAAAUGAGAGAAAAUCCUUGUUCAUCACCUGUCAAUUCUAAAAAUCGAAUUCGGGUCGUUGGGCUGCACAACCGCAUGCCCAAUGACUGAGCCAAGGCUCUCUUUGAAAAAUAUAUGUUGUGGUGAUCAUACAUCCACACGUGCAUAUCCCCUAAUCGGACGACUGAGAGAUUGAAAUAAUUACAUGGAGGAUCUUAACAUUUGUCGUAUAGAGAAAAAAUAGCUCUCGUUAUGCACUACAUGUACAGAUAUCACUAAUAGAAAUAUAUUUUUACACAGGAAUUAGGUUCGAAAUAAAUAAGAUAUCUUUCACUAAGGAAUGUAAUGUGGCUAUCUCUAUUUUAUUUUAUAGCCAUGGAAAUAGUUAGAGUUAAAGAAUCGAUCAGGUAGUAAAAAUUUGACUGUAUAUCCAAUGGCUACGUAUAUCUGAAGCUCUGAUUCAAAUGCAAAGAAAUUCUUGAGUUUCAAGCAAUUUUUUUGCUUAACGAAUCUCCUUGUACCGGUACUUAGAGGACCUCACCUGUCUAUCAAAACAAAUGAGGAUCGAUGGUGCACUUUGGUCAUUUCAUUUUCGGAAAUUCUAUAACAUUCACUAAUUAAUUAUUUUAAUAGUAUCAUGCACCUUUUAAAGGUAGCAGAAAACCUGUAAACCAUCCAAUUAUUACUAUUUAAGUUAGAAUGACUAGUUUUUAUCGCAUUUCAUUUUCUAAGUACUAAGAAAAUCUGAACUCGUAUAAAUUUCAGGUAUUUGGGAAGACUACCAAUUUCUAUGAGCAAUAUCCUGAAUUGUCUGAACCAGCAAAUCUGAUCCUAAAAAAAUGCAGCGGACUUCCACUUGCAAUAGUCACCAUAGGUGGAUUCUUGUCGAACCAGACUAAAUCCUCUCUGGAAUGGAGGAGAUUGAAUGAGCGUAUGAGCACUGAGUUGGAGAUGAAUCCAGAACUUGGGUAUAUAAGGACCGUCCUUAUGAGAAGCUAUGAUGGAUUACCUUAUCACCUCAAGUCUUGUUUCCUAUAUAUGCCCAUCUUUCCUGAAGAUUACAAGGUUGGAAGGGGACGCUUGGCACGUCGGUGGAGUGCAGAGGGUUACUCAAGGGGGGUGCGUGGUAAGUCCGCGGAGGAAAUAGCGGAUGGCUACUUCAUGGAACUUAUAAGUAGGAGUAUGAUCCUACCAUCUCAACAAUCAAUUCUUGGUAGAAAUGGAAUUGGUUCCUGCCAAGUCCAUGAUCUUAUCCGUGAAAUUGGUGUCUCCAAGUCGAUGGAAGAAAAUCUUGUUUUUACACUGGAGGAAGGUUGCAGCUCAAAUAGCCAGGCCAUGGUGCGCCACCUGGCUAUAAGCAGCAACUGGGAGGGAGAUAAGAAUGAGUUUGAGAGCACAGUGGACAUGUCCCGUCUACGGUCAAUUACAUGUUUUGGAAAGUGGAAGUCAUUUUUUGUUUUUGACAAGAUGAGGUUGCUACGAGUGCUAGACCUGGAAGACACGGCAGGUCUAUAUCCUCAUAACCUUAAGGAUAUUGGGAAGCUUCUUCACCUAAGAUAUCUUUCUCUAAGAGGAUGUGGUGAUAUUUCUUACCUGCCAGAUUUACUGGGCAACCUGAGGCAACUCGAGACGCUAGAUGUCAGAGAUACUUGGAUUGUCCAGUUGCCAAAGAGCAUCAUCAAGCUUCGGAAGCUAAACUAUCUUCGAACUAGCAGAAAACCGGCUAAUGAUGAUAUCGAAGAAGUUGUGGGCUUACCCGAGGAAAUAAAUAACCGCCCAUGCGAGUUGUGUGUCAUUAUGGGGAUAUGUUGUUUAGGGUGUUGUGCAGUUCAGUGUAUUGCUGAUAUUGAUUUAAACAGUUAUGACAUAUGCACUACCUUUUGCUGCUAUGGCUUUCCUGCUGUGGCUAUGCGGCUCGACUUGUAUGGUGUGCUAGUGCCCAGAGGGAUGAGAAAACUUAAAAACCUGCACACACUGGCUGUUGUGAACAUCGGACGGCAAGGGAAGCUCAUACUAAAGGACAUAGAAGGACUCACCCAACUGCGCAAGUUGGGAGUGACUGGCGUCAAUAAGGUAAAUGGCCAAGAGUUGUGUUCGGCAAUUGUUGGCCUGAGCCGCCUGGAAUCUUUGUCAAUCCGGUCAGAGGGGGAGCCAGGUUUAUGUGGCUGCUUGGAUGGAGACUUCUCGUUUCCGGAGACACUUCAGAGCCUCAAGCUGUAUGGCAACCUGGCCAAACUGCCGGAAUGGAUCCAGGGGCUCAAGAAUCUGGUUACGCUGAAGCUGCGGAGCUCCAGGAUAACAGAGCACGAUGCUGCCAUACAAAUCCUUGGGAAUCUAUCCAAUCUGGUGUUCCUGCAUCUGUUGGAGAAGUCACUCGUGGGUGAAGAGGUCCGUCUCAGUUUCCAGAAGGGGAUGUUCCCGAGCCUGGUGGUGUUGGAGCUGAGCAUGGGAUACGGAACAAGACUCAAGUCCGUCAAGUUUGAACAAAAAACAACCCCGAGGCUUGAGGUGCUCCAGUUUCGUCAGACUGCAUACAUCGACAGUGGUUUCCUUUCAGGGCUAUUCUCUCUAGCUAGCUUAAAGGAAGUUGUGCUACAACAUGGCUACUUUGGUUCCGAAUUGGAAUACCUGAGGACCGAGCUCACCAAGAACCCAAAUCUACCCGUGGUGAAGUGGGUCUUUUAAAGCUUCAGAGGUCAAUCACGCCCAACAAUCCAAGGCAAGCUAGGCGUACUGUCGUAUUUUCAUUUGUGUGCGCUGUGCAGUAUCUACGUGCAGUUUUUCUUUCUUCCUUUUUCUGUUGGAAGUUCAUCUAUGAUAAAUAAAUCGUUGAUAUUUCCAUUCGUACUGGUCAAGGAUUCGUUUUAGUCGCAUAUGACCCGUAAUUAUGCGUAGGUUGCGUCGGACGGUUCAUCAUGUAUGUAUCUGGAAUGUGUCUGGGAUAGCAGCAUGAUCACAUCUAUAUCUUCUCCUAAUAAUAAAGCACGCAGUGCUUCUUCCGUCCGUCGUGGUCGUUUUGCAAAAAAAACCCUGAAGUUUCUCAAAAUCAACCCGUAGUCCAGAUUUAAGUGACGGGCGAAUCAUUUUUUCGUUUUUACAAGAAACCCCUGUGCUUUCCCGAAAUCAAUCCGCAGUAUAUAACACAGUGAGAAAACGAAUGGUUUUCUGGAUUUUUUGUACAAACCUCCUUCAGUUUUUAUAAAAUAAACCCGCAGUACAUACUUGAGUAAAAAAACAAUCAUUUUCCGUAUGUUUUCGAAAACACUCCUACAGUUUUUAAUUAAUUAAUCUGUAGUUCAAUUAUAAGUGCAAAAUAUUUUUAAAAAUUAUAUCUUUUAAACAGUAACUCCAAUUUUACAUUAUUAUAUAUGAAAUUUUAUUAGAAAAAUAUGUAAAAUCUGAAUAUAAUGUUAGUUUAUCUAUUUAAUUUUUUAAAAUUCCGCUUAUAAUGUAAUUUAAAUCAAUAGUGAUGCGCAUAAUCUAAAUAUAAUAUUAUUUUAUUUAUUUAAUAAUUUUUAAAUAAUAUUUAUGCUAUAAUUUUAAUCAAUAGCGUACAAUCCAUUUUUCAUAACGAGGCCGAUCCAUGUUGUUAAUUAAUCCGCGGUUCAAUUAUAAUUAACAAAUACUGUAAACAAUUAUAUCUUUUAAAACUGUAACUCUAAUUUUAAAUUAUUACAUAUGAACUUUCAUUCAAAAAAUAUGUUGAAUCGAAAUCUAAUGUAUGUUACCUAUUUAAUUUUUAGAUUUCUAUUUAUAAUGUAAUUUGAAUCUAUAGUGAUGUGUAUAAUCUAAAUAUGAUGUUAUUUUACUUAUCUAACAUUUUUUAAAUUCUAUUUAUGCAGUAAGUUUAAAUAAAGAUAUGAAGUCAUGAUUAUUAGGUUAAGAUGUGUUGUAUGGUUUGCUUCCGUUGCAACGAACGAGCUCUUUUGCUAGUCUAUAUCUAUAUCUAUAUCUAUAUCUAUACUUAUACUAAUUUGUGACUCCCAGAAAAUUCUCACAUUAAUUAGAAAUUAUCAACCGUUCAUUUGGUGGGAUCGAAUUAUUACGGUGUAGAUCAAUCCAUAAAAUCCUCGAGAAAAAAAAUCCUAUCUUUUUCUUUUUUUAAAUCCCUGGGAAAAAAAUCAAUUUUAUAAGUCCACGAUCUCUUUUCUUGGUUCUAAAAUUCCGUCUCAAUAUAUAUCUAUAGAUCCACGGGCUCUUUCUCUUAUCACUAGAAAAAACAACCUGAUGCAAUCUCUAACCAAUUGUCCUCUCGAUGCUAACCACAUGCAAUUGGUUGACGUACGUGUGGAUUACUGUUCGUGAGCAGCCUUGAAUGCAGCUAUGGUAACUUCAGGACAAAGGAUUGCAACUACGAAGGCCAUCAAACAAGCAAAUAAACUUCGAUUUUUAUCUCCAUGUCCCUCCCUCCACGUCCCUCCCUCCUCUCUCUUACUUUUCUUCUCGAUGGAAUUACUACUGGCUGGACGUCGAAGCUGUCCAUAAUUAUAUAUAUCGAUUGAUUCAACCAUCCGCAUGAACUCCAACAAGCCGCCGUCGUCAUCCAUCGGACCUGCCGUUCAUCAUCGUAUUUCUUGCCCGUCUAGGCUUUCCACGCGAUGGAGAUGCAUUGGCUAGCUACUCAAGUAUCUCAGUUAGUGUUGUGCUGAACAGUUCUCUUAGAAUUGGUUUUUUGAUUAUUGAAUCGACAUGGCAUAUGUGAGCUUUACGGCAGGGAUUCAAAUUUAUCUUUGCUUGAUUAUGUCCUCAAAAUUCACAUUGUUGUCUUGAUCUUCUGUGGUGGAGAGCGAUCUGACAGCCAUGCGUACUCCCUGAAGUGCAUGCCCGUGAAUCUGUGGAUGCAUAUGCAAGAUGCAUGUCAUACGCCUCUUCGACAUCAAAACCUUUGCACCACCCAGGGAAUCAGUUGCACUGUUUGACAGCGGUAGGGAAAAUUCUAAGCUUUCCUCUUUCAGUUAAGCGACCACACUAUUCAUUUAUUAAUUGUCUCACCUGAUGCCUCUUGCAUUGAUACCCUAGCCUUAAUUAUCGGUGAUUGAUUUUUCAUACCAUGAUGGCGUAUACUUACUGUAUAUAGCAUACUAAGCAGUUAACUGAUUCACUCUGUAAUCCGGCUAGCUGGUGAUGACCUCUGACUUGAGGUGUGUGAAUGUCUAAUGCAUGUGCACGAGAAUAUAAAAUACCUCACAUUAUAUAAGUUCCUAAUAAAUAUCAACCAAAGAUUUAGUAGACAUGCAUGUUAAUGUUAUUUGUAGGACUGUAUCCUAAAAAUGACUUAUUUGAACAAUAUUAUAAAAGUAAUAUGCCACUAUGUGUAUAUAUAUAUAUCUGUGCUGUGGUAUUUGCAUAAACAAUUAUUACGGUUCUCUCAAUAUUAACGAAUAAGACACUACUCGAGCUAAUUUCCAUGUGUUGGAGUCAUCAGGAGAAGUUCAUAUAAUAAGCACCUGAACACCAUUGAAUUUCAAUGGCGCUUUUGUACACUUUCACUAGGCUCCAUUUUAAUAGAAUCAUGGUAUACGUGGUUAGUAAAAUUAUGAGCACUGAUCCGUUCAUGCCGUGAGUUUUGGUGGUUGGACUAUUUUCAUACUGACACAACAAGCCAAGAGCUUCUAUUAGGGAAUCCCACAUCCAUACUGAUUUUCUAUAUGUGUAGAUGAAUGACCAAGACCAAAAUUGUUUUCAUUCUUUUCUGAAUAACCACAUAUUAAUAGAAUUCAAGUAUCAACUGCCUGUGCAUAUAGGUUACAAACUUUUCUAUCUGUGAAAUCCAAGGGUACUAAUUCCGUUAAUUAUACUAUUUCACUCAUUUAACAGUCCAUCUGUACACUAAUGUAAGAUGUUUUUGCCGUUCGUACGUUUAACAUUUUCUUAGCGUGUAGUAUCUAGAACUCAGCUGAAUGCAUAACUGACAUACUACCUCCCACACACAUGUAUGUCAUUGUUACCCAUGAAACAUAAGAUUAGUUUGGAAAUGUCGUCCUCUCCAACUGUAGUGAACGAAUGAAUCAUAUAAUAUACUGGACUUUAUUGGAGAAUAGGCGGAACAUACACUUAUUAUAAUCGAUCAUUAUAAUCAUGUACUAUGCUCCAUUGUCUUCCUCUCCCGAAACAAUCCCGCGGCAUGGAAAACAAAUCCAUCGUUGCUCUCAGGCUGAAGUAAGCAGUUAAUGUGGGGUGACAUAUAUUCAGCGUGCUCAAGGAUCUUAUUACAUCAAAAUUGUUUUCCACAUGUGUGGAUUAGGUUUGUUUUCUUGCACACUACUGUUUUUGAUUUUUUUUUUAUUAGCUAUGCCUGCCAUUUCGCCUAAUCAAUUCUGGUUGGGACGUCUGGACUAACGUUGUGGCGCUACUUGAGAUGAGCAGAGGAGAGCGAGCAUGGAUCCAUCUUGCUAGUUUUUCUUUUUGCAUAGCUAAUGAAGGUCGUGGGCGGGCCACAAAAAUAGUGUGACGUGAUGGUUGAGCUGGCUUUUGCGGAGAAGCACAACAAUUUUGGCUGAGUUAGGUAGACAAAUAAUUCCGCAAGUAAAACAUCUACUUAUGGUUAAGGGAAACUGCACGUCAGGAAGAUAAUGAAACUGCACUUAUCAUAUAAAAAAACAAAGAACCAUUAUGUGUUUACACCAUGUUAUUUACGGAGCAUACAACUACACUUAGUGUUGCGAGAAAUCAAGCAUCUAUUAUGUGUUGAGGCUGUGCAAUUUAUAAUCCUAAAAGCACAAAACCAGAAUACAAAUAUAUGAAAUCAACCUAAUGGAAAGUACACAAACACAAUACUGCUUAUUAAAUACAUAUUUCAAAUCACUAAUUUCCUUUGGCCGAGAGAAAACUAAUAUAUGAAAAAACAUUUUAAAAAAACUAGCAAUCUCCACAAAGUUAGUACCCUGCAUACAUGUAUAGCUCUGCCCAUUUCCACCGAAAACAUGUUCUUCACAUUUAAAUAAUGCACUAAAGAGAAUUGUUUUAUACAAUUUUCUCUAUGUCAAAUAUAUCAAGACACCAAUUUUCUACAUUAGAAAGUAUACUUUAAGAAUGGCUCCAAAUUCAUUGCUAUGUAUAUUGACAUGAACGCGGACAUGAAAUAACAUGCCAUGCUUUACAUGAAUAUUUAUGUUUACCACACAAUAAAACGAUUAAGUAACCGCAAAGUCAUCGCCAACUAACAACAACUUAAUUGUAUUAUUUGACUAAAUUUGUACAAAGUAACAUUGUCAAUAAACUAGCCCGUGCGAAUGCACGGGUUGACGACUAGUCUAUACUAAUUAAAGACUCCCACAAAAUUACCACGUUAAUUAGAUUUUACGAGCCGUUCAUUUGGUGGGACCGAGUUAUUAAUUAGAGACUCCCACAAAAUUACACCGUUAAUUAGAUUUUACGAGCCGUUCAUUUGGUGGGACCGAGUUAUAACGAUUUAGAUCUAAUAAAAUUCUCAUCCAGAAAAAAACAAUUUUCUCAGUUGUAAAAACUAAAGAAAAAAAUCCAAUCUCAGUUGUACCUAAAAGUAGCACGUCCUUUCUCAGGUUGGUAAAAGUAAAGAAAAAAACGCAAUCCGAAUUGUACCUAAAAGUUGCACGUCCUUCCACAAAAAAGAGAGUAAAAAAUCCAAUCUCAACUGUACUAAAAAGGCUUCACGUCCUUCGACCAAAACAAAUAAAUAUUCUCCACGAUCUCUUUCAAAACUAAAUCAGAAUCGGGAUCUAUUUGCCCUAGCCUCCACGAUCGUCUGCUUAAGGAAAGGUCUCAGCCUAAACCCUGAUCGAGAGCUCUUGGUUGAGGUCUCCAUAGCCCCUUCCAUGCAAUGUCACCUCCUGGCGCUGGCUCGACAUGGUCCUGGUCGUGGUCUCAUCGCCUAACCUAGCUCCGUAAAUUGUCUUUCUCAUGCCUUUCGUUUCAUCUACGACGUGUUAGAUCCGGCAGCAAAUCACAUCUCUAGACUAAAUCUAAUUCCACCAGUUCGUUGCGGAUAGGCCUUGGCCUCUUCGUCCUGGUGCUAUUAGCCACCCUCUCUCUCUAUUUGCGUGUGUUGAAAUGAUAACAAGUUAGAUCCAGGGCAAAUAUCAGAAAAGCGAGAUCUGCAUGCAGGUGAUGAACAUCGUGAAAUUUGCUGCCUCCACAUGUUAUACAAAAUUUGGCGAUGCGGAUAGGUCCUGGCCUCUUUCUGGUGGUGCCAUUAGCCUCUCUCUCUAUCUGUGUGUGUGUUGCAGAUGAUGAAUAGAAUGCAGUGGGUUACACCCAGCGGCAAAUUUGAGAAAAACGAGAUUUUAAUGCAGAGGACGAAAAUCAUCUAUUGAUUAUACAAUUGGCUGCCAACACACGGUAUACAAAAUUGGUCGGUGAAAUACAAUGCACGACCAUCCCCUAUGCAGUGAUCGUUUUAACAUCACCCACGCCAGUCUUUUGAUUAGGUAAAUACAGUGUGGUGUUUGCCUGUGGAGGGUGUCAGUUCUAACGUUGUUUAGCCUAUCCAUACAGGGUGCAUAUGGGAAGCUCCUCUUGGCCACGGCACCGUUGAGGACGAGGUGAGGUAAUAACACUAGUGGAAAACGGGCCUUUGGCCGGGACCCUUUAGUCCCGGCCUGCCUCUGGGCCGGGACUAAAGGCCCGGCCACGUCGCCCCAAUUCUCAAUGCCUCCCUCGAGGCUUUAGUCCCGGUCCGUAAGGAGCCUUUAGUCCCGGUUCGUGUCCCAAACCGGGACUAAAGGGCUACGCGGUGGGCAGCCCGCAUGUGCGCUCAAACCGGGACUAAAGUCCUCUGCCUAUAUAUAGCACAUCCCCCCUCUCCCCUCUUCCUUGCAUUUUUCUUGGAUGGAGGAUUGUGGGUGUGUGCUAGCUCUCCACUUUUUUUGAUGCACUAGAGGUGUUUGUUGAAAAAUGUGUUAGAGCGAUGCCGCUUCAGUUCACCGAACACAACUACGAUAUGAGAUGCAUGAGCCACGCUUAAACCUCUUCCUCUUUAUUUCUACUUAUUCUAAAAGGUUAGCAACUAUAUUUCCUCGUUUAGACCGUGCGAUACUAAUUUUUAGGAUCGUGAUUGUAUUUGAUAUAUUGUCGUAUAACACAGAUGAGCCAUCCAUGGAUGUACGGUGAUCGACGCACAACCGCUUACAGAGAAGGCGUGCAUUCUUUUCGAGAUGCAGCCGAUGCAAACAAGCAUGGUGGUGGCUUUAUGUUUUGUCCAUGUGUUGAAUGUCGGAAUGAGAAGGAUUACACUUCCUCAAGAGUCAUUCAGAGCCACCUGCUUCGGUCCGGUUUUAUGUCGGGCUAUAAUGUUUGGACCAAGCACGGAGAAAGAUGGGUUAUGAUGGAAGACGACGAUGAAGAAGAAGAGAACGAUGAUGACAACUACCGAUCUAUGUUCCCUGAGUAUGCUGAUACCGCAAUGGAAGAUAAUGAAGAAGAAGAUCAGGAUGAAGAACGGGAACCAGAUGAGCCCGCUGAUGAUCUUGGCCGGGUCAUUUCUGAUGCACGGUGAGGUUGCGACAUAGAAAAGGAGAGGUUGCAGUUCGAGCAGAUGUUACAGGACCACAACAAAUUGUUGUACCCAACUUGUGAAGAUGGCCAGAAGAAGCUGGGUAGCACACUGGAAUUCCUGAAGUGGAAGGCAUAGACCGGUGUGACUGACUCGUCAUUCGAAAAGUUGUUGGUACUGAUGAAGAAGAUGCUUCCAAGAAAGAACGAAUUGCCCGCCAGCACGUACGAAGCAAAGAAGCUUGUCUGCCCUCUAGGAUUAGACGUGCAGAAGAUACAUGCAUGCCCUAAUGACUGCAUCCUCUACCGUGGUGAGAAGUACGAGAAUAUGGAUAAAUGCCCGGUAUGCACUGCAUUGCGGUAUAAGAUCAGAAAAGAUGACCCUGGUGAUAUUGAGGGCGAGCCAUCCAGGAAGAGGGUUCCUGCCAAGGUGAUGUGGUAUGCUCCUAUAAUACCACGGUUGAAACGUCUGUUCAGAAAUAAAGAUCAUGCGAAGUUGUUGCGAUGGCACAUGGAAGAUCGUAUGAAAGACGAUAAGUUGAGGCACACCGCUGAUGGUCGGCAGUGGAGAAAAAUCGAGAGAGAGUUCCCGAGAUUUGCAGCUGACGCAAGGAACUUAUGGUUAGGUCUAAGUACAGAUGGCAUGAAUCCUUUUGGGGAGCAGAGUUGCAGUCACAACACCUGGCCCGUUACUCUAUGUAUCUACAACCUUCCUCCUUGGUUGUGCAUGAAGCGGAAGUUCAUUAUGAUGCCAGUGCUUAUCCAAGGUCCAAAGCAACCCGGCAACGAUAUUGAUGUGUACCUAAGGCCAUUAGUUGAUAAAAUUUUAUAGCUGUGGGCCGAACCAGGUGUACGUGUGUGGGACGAGCACAAACAAGAGGAAUUUGACCUUCGAGCGUUGCUUUUCGUAACCAUCAAUGAUUGGCCUGCUCUUAGUAACAUUUCAGGACAGUCAAAAAAGGGAUACAAUGCAUGCACGCACUGUUUGGAUCAGACAGAAAGUAUAUAUCUGGACAAAUGUAGGAAGAAUGUGUACCCGUACAAUCGUCGUUUUCUUCCGCCCAAGCAUCCCUUAAAUAAAAAAGGCAAGCAUUUCAAUGGCAAGGCAGAACCCCGGGGGAAGCCUGUCAUCCGUACUGGUGCUGAAGUAUUUGAUAUGGUCAAAGAUUUAAAAGUAAUCUUUGGAAAGGGUCCUGGCAGCCAACCUGUUCCUAACGGCCUGAUAAGCGCGUACCCAUGUGGAAGAAGAAAUCUAUAUUUUGGGAGCUACCCUACUGGGAAGUCCAUGAGGUCCGCUCGGCAAUCGACGUGAUGCACCUGACGAAGAAUCUCUGCGUGAAUAUUCUAGGCUUCCUGGGCUUGUAUGGGAAGUCAAAAGAUACACCGGAAGCACGGGAGGACCAGGAACGUCAUAAAGGAAGAGAUGGCAUGCAUCCAGGGCAGUUUCAAGGGCGUGCCAGCUACGCUCUUACUAAGGAAGAGAAGGAAAUCUUCUUUGAAGUCCUUUUCAGUAUCAAGGUCCCGACUGGCUUCUCGUCGAAUACAAAGGGAAUCGUAAAUAUGAAAGACAAAAAAUUCCAAAACCUAAAGUCUCAUGACUGCCACGUGCUUAUGACGCAAUUGCUUCCGGUUGCAUUGAGGGGAAUUCUACCGGAAAAUGUUCGCCUGGCAAUUGUGAAGGUAUGUGCAUUCCUCAAUGCAAUUUCUGAGAAGGUAAUCGAUCGAGAAAGUCUAUCAGGGUUACAGAUUGAUGUGGUCCAAUGUCUGGUCAGCUUUGAGUUGUUGUUCCCGCCAUCCUUCUUCAAUAUAAUGACACACCUCCUAGUUCACCUAGUCGAAGAGAUUAGAAUUCUCGAUCCUGUGUUUCUACACAAUAUGUUCCCCUUCGAGAGGUUCAUGGGAGUCUUAAAGAAAUAUGUUCGUAACCAUGCUAGGCCAGAAGGAAGCAUCUCCAAGGGCUAUGGAACAGAGGAGGUCAUUGAGUUUUGUCUGGACUUUCUUCCUGACCUUAAGCCAAUUGGUGUUCCUGAAUCUCGGUAUGAGGGUAGGCUGACAGGAAAAGGCACACUCGGAAGGAAAGAAAAAGUAUGUAUGGACGGGCAUUCUUUCUCUCAAGCACACUACACAGUUCUACACAAUUCCACCGUGGUGGCUCCGUAUAUCGUGAGACACAAGAAUAUUCUACGCUCCGAAAACCCGGGGAAGGCUGACUCUUGGAUUAAAGUGGAACAUGAGAAGACUUUCGGCAGUUGGUUGCAGACACAUCUCAUGAAUGACGACACCGUUGGAGAUCAGUUGUACUGUUUGGCCAGGCCACCAUCUUCGACUAUAUGUACUUUCCAAGGGUAUGAGAUAAAUGGGAAUACAUUUUACACGGUUGCCCAAGAUAAAAAGAGCACCAACCAAAAUAGUGGUGUCCGCUUUGAUGCAACAAAGGAGAAUGGACACUGUUUGGAAACAUAUUACGGGUACAUAGAGGAGAUAUGGGAACUUGACUAUGGACCUACUUUUAAGAUCCCUUUGUUUCGGUGCAAAUGGGUGAAGCUGACAGGAGGCGGGGUAGUUGUAGACCAAAAGUACGACAUGACAACAGUGGAUCUCAACAAUCUUGCGUACAUGGACGAACCAUUUGUCCUAGCCAAUGAUGACGCUCAGGUUUUCUAUGUGAAGGACAUGUCUACAAAAACGAGAAAAAGAAAUCAGCAAAAGAAGAUAUCGUCCGAUGAGCCAAAACGCCACAUAGUUUUUUCAAGGAAAAGAAACAUCGUGGGAGUAGAUGACAAGACAGACAUGUCAGCAGAUUAUAAUAAGUUUCAUGAAAUUCCGCCCUUCAAAGUGAAAACUGACCCAAGCAUCCUAUUGAAUGAUGAAGAUUCUCCAUGGCUACGACCCAGAAGAAAACAUAAAUAAUAGAUAGGAAUAUUGGUGCAAUAAUGUAAUAAUGUAUUAAACCUUAUAUGUAAUGCAUGUAUGGAAUGUACUAAAUUUCAAACACUUUUCAUUUUCAUAGUUUUGUCAAAUUCUCAAAUACGCAAAAAGAAUUUUAAUAAACCUUUGUAAGAGAUGAGUUCUCGUUCGAAACCCUGAUACUUCGAGAGAGAUUGUCCGUUUUGUACACGAAGUGCAUCCAGUUUUUGUCAUAGCCCUCUCAACUUUUUAACACAUGCUAUGUGGGUGAAAUGAUGAUAGCAUGCCAACUUUCAACAUUUUCAGAGUUCAUUUGUAGUGCUUUUCAAUUUCAGGGUCAACUAGCUCAAAAAAAAAGUAAAUGCACGAAGAAUACCAAAUGAAGUCAGAAAUUUUUGAAAUUUUGUGAUGUGCCUUUGAAUGUUGCAUUUUGAACACACAAAAAGUAUGGAGUUCAAAUAAGUUCAAAAAAAUGAAAUCCCUUUGUAAGAGAUGAAUUCUCGUUCGAAACCCUGAUACUUCGAGAGAGAUUGUCCGUUUUGUACACGAAGUGCAUCCAGUUUUUGUCGUAGCCCUCUCAACUUUUUAACACAUGCUAUGUGGGUGAAAUGAUGAUAGCAUGCCAACUUUCAACAUUUUCAGAGUUCAUUUAUAGUGCUUUUCAAUUUCAGGGUCAACUAGCUCAAAAAAAUAAUAAUAAGUAAAUGCACGAAGAAUACCAAAUGAAGUCAGAAAUUGUUGAAAUUUUGUGAUGUGCCUUUGAAUGGUGCAUUUUGAACACACAAAAAGUAUGGAGUUCAAAUAAGUUCAAAAAAAUGAAAUCCCUUUGUAAGAGAUGAGUUCUCGUUCGAAACCCUGAUACUUCGAGAGAUAUUGUCCGUUUUGUACACGAAGUGCAUUCAGUUUUUGUCGUAGCCCUCUCAACUUUUUAACACAUGGUAUGUGGGUGAAAUGAUGAUAGCAUGCCAACUUUCAACAUUUUCAGAGUUCAUUUGUAGUGCUUUUCAAUUUCAGGGUCAACUAGCUCAAAAAAUAAUAAGUAAAUGCACGAAGAAUACCACAUGAAGUCAGAAAUUGUUGAAAUUUUGUGAUGUGCCUUUGAAUGGUGCAUUUUGAACACACAAAAAAUAUGGAGUUCAAAUAAGNACUAGCUCAAAAAAUAAAUAAGUAAAUGCACGAAGAAUACCAAAUGAAGUCAGAAAUUGUUGAAAUUUUGUGAUGUGCCUUUGAAUGGUGCAUUUUGAACACACAAAAAGUAUGGAGUUCAAAUAAGUUCAAAAAAUGAAAUCCCUUUGUAAGAGACGGGUUCUCGUUCUAAACCCUGAUACUUCGAGAGAGCUUAUCCGUUUUGUACACGAAGUGCAUCCAAUUUUUGUCAUAGCCCUCUCAACUUUUUAACACAUGCUAUGUGGGUGAAAUGAUGAUAGCAUGCCAACUUUCAACAUUUUCAGAGUUCAUUUGUAGUGCUUUUCAAUUUCAGAGUCAACUAGCUCAAAAAAAAAGUAAAUGCACGAAGAAUACCAAAUGAAGUCAGAAAUUGUUGAAUUUUUGUGAUGUGCCUUUGAAUGGUGCAUUUUGAACACACAAAAAGUAUGGAGUUCAAAUAAGUUCAAAAAAAGAAAUCCCUUUGUAAGAGAUGAGUUCUCGUUCGAAACCCUGAUACUUCGAGAGAUAUUGUCCGUUUUGUACACGAAGUGCAUCCAGUUUUUGUCGUAGCCCUCUCAACUUUUUAACACAUGAUAUGUGGGUGAAAUGAUGAUAGCAUGCCAACUUUCAACAUUUUCAGAGUUCAUUUGUAGUGCUUUUCAAUUUCAGAGUCAACUAGCUCAAAAAAAAAAUAAGUAAAUGCACGAAGAAUACCAUAUGAAGUCAGAAAUUGUUGAAGUUUUGUGAUGUGCCUUUGAAUGGUGCAUCUUGAACACACAAAAAGUAUGGAGUUCAAAUAAGUUCAAAAAAUGAAAUCCCUUCGUAAGAGAUGAGUUCUCGUUCGAAACCCUGAUACUUUGAGGGAGAUUGUCCGUUUUGUACACGAAGUGCAUCCAGUUUUUGUCGUAGCCCUCUCAACUUUUUAACACAUGCUAUGUGGGUGAAAUGAUGAUAGCAUGCCAACUUUCAACAUUUUCAGAGUUCAUUUGUAGUGCUUUUCAAUUUCAGGGUCAACUAGCUCAAAAAAAAAGUUAAUAGUUUGGAUAGUCAAAAUAAUUACUUUUGAAAAUAGAAAAAAGUUUUGCAUUAUUUAUUCAAUUUCAAACAGUUUUCAUUAUCAUAGUUUUUUCAAAUUCUCAAAUAUGCAAAAAGAAUUUUAAUAAACAUAGUUUUUGAUUGAAAAUAACAAAAUAGUUAAUAGUUUGGAUAGUCAAAAUAAUUACUUUUGAAAAUAGAAAAUAGUUUUGAAUUAUUUAUUCAAUUUCAAACACUUUUCAUUAUCAUAGUUUUGUCAAAUUCUCAAAUAUGCAAAAAUAAUUUUAAUAAAACAUAGUUUUUAAUUGAAAAUAGAAAAAAAUUGAAACUAUAUGAGAAUUUGUAAAGAAACUUAAACCUAAAUUCAAAGUGAGCUCACUUUGAAUUCAGGUUUAAGUUUCUCCACAAUUUCAAAUAUAGUUUCAAUUUUUUAAGUCAGUUUAGGCCCGUAAGCCUGCUUUAGAGAGGAGCUCGAUGGAGUAGCUGCGACUGGGCUUAUAAACAAGUGUUAGUCCCCCUCGCUGGGCGAGGUGGGACUAAACUUAUCAUGCAGGCGAGGAGGGGCUUUAGUCCCGGGUGGAGCCACGACAAGUCUGUUUACUCGUUCCGUAAUACAAGAUCCCGUGACUAACACUUUAGUCACAUUGUUUGCAAGGCUUAUAUGUGAUGUUGUAUUACCGAGUGGGCCCCGAGAUACCUCUCCGUCACACGGAGUGACAAAUCUCAGUCUUUAUCCAUGCCAACUCAACGGACACCUUCGGAGAUACCUGCAGAGCACUUUUACAGCCACCGAGUAACGCUGCAACGUUUGAUACACACAAGGUAUUCCUCCGAUGUCAGUGAGUUACAUGAUGUCAUGCUCAUAGAAAUGAAUACUUGACACACAACAAACAAUAGCAACAAAAUGACACGAUCACAUGCUACGUUUAUAGUUUGGGUCAUGUACAUCACAUCAUUCUUCCAAUGAUGUGAUCCAGUCAUCAAGUGACAACACUUGCGUAUGGUCAGAAAACCUUAACCAUCCUUGAUCAACUUGCUAUUCAACUAGAGGCUUACUAGGGACAUUGUUUUGUCUAUAUAUCCACACAUGCAUUUAUGUUUUCAUUCAAUACAAUUAUAGCAUGGAUAAUAAACGAUUAUCUUGAAAUAGGAAAUAGUUAUUAUUAUAUUUCCAACAAGAAGCCCUCAACCACGAGGAGGAACUACUCCCGCUUCAUGGAGGGAGGAAGCAACGUCGAUGGAGAUGAAUCCGGGGCAGUUCCGCAUCCCGGCAGGGUGCCGGCACAGGAAUUCUGAUCCCUCGAAACUUGUUGGCGAUGGCGGCGGCGAUCGGAAUAUCUUCUGGAGAAAAGGGUUUCAGAAUCAGGGUUUCCUCCAUGGGGGUAAAAUGGAGCCAAGGUAGGGCACCAGAGGGGGUGGGCCCCACCCAGGCGGCCUCGUCGUGCGGCCAGGGGGCAGGCCGCACCACCAGGUCGCUUGGAGGCCUGGUGACCCUACUUUGGCCCUCUGUCGGGCAUCCUGAAGCUUCCGUCACACUGAUUUUUAUAUAUUUUCUCGGGAUUUUGGGGGCUCUGGAAAUUGGGGUAAAGUCCCUGCAAUUAAAAGACAUCAGCAGACAGAAACUGGUACUGGGUGCACUAAGUUAGUAGGUUAGUCCAAAUAUGUGUAAAAAGUUAUAAAAUUGUAGCAAAACAUAUAACAAUGUCACCCAAAAGAGCAUGGAACAAACAUAAAUUAUAGAUACGUUUGGGACGUAUCUGUGAACUUGUAGAUCCGAGUGACUAAUAGGAUCUAGGGAUGUGACGGAUCACCGUGUCAGAUCCGGAUUUUCCGGGAUUUUAAGUUUUUGGUUACCGCGCGCCUUGCGGUGAUGACACCAUUGUCAGGCAAGUGGUUACCGCGCGCCAUUUUUGUUCUUAGACUUUGCUCCUUCGCUCACCGUCCGGCCAUCGGCACCUGGGGCGGCAUCCUCUUACUCUGGAAUGAGGAUCAUGUAGAGGUCUCCAACGUGCACCUCGGCACUCACUUGAUCUCGGCUAGCGUCUCCAUUCGCGCAUGUGGUACCUCCUUCAAGCUCACUACCGUCUACGACCCUACAGGCCACACCAAGAAAGAAGCCUUUCUCACAGAAGCUGUUGCCGCCAAGCCUUCUCAAGACUCAAAAUGGCUCAUCAUUAGGGAUUUCAGCCUUAUCAACAAAGCGGACGACAAGAACAACAACAACCUGGACUUCUGCCUGAUGGGUCUCUUCGGAAUAGCCCUCACCAACUGUCAGGUUCAGGAGCUAGAGCUGCAGAACCGGAGGUUUACUUGGAGAAACGAAAGGGAGACCCCUACUCUUGUGCGUAUGGACCGGGCUUUCUGCAACAGUGCUUGGGACCUCAUGUACGAGAAUCAUGUGCUACAUGCCCUGUCCUCGUCCCUCUCGGACCACUUCCCCCUACUCCUUUCCAACCAGAUCCACUACGGGAAUCAGGUAAUUUACCGUCUGUUAAGAUCUUUGCCGUUAGCUUUUCUUCAUGGAUGACGGCAAAGAGCACUUUUGCCGUUAGUUGCCGUUAGUUUCUGACGGCAAAGAAUGACUGACGGCGUAGACAAAGUUUGCCGUCUGUAAAAAAAACUGAUGACGGCAAAAAUAUUUUGCCGUCUGUAAAAGAAAACAGAUGACGGCAAAGCCAUUUUUUGCCGUUUGUAAAAAAACUGAUGACGGCAAAAAAAAUUUGCCGCCUGUAAAAGAAAACGGAUGACGGCAAAGACAUUUUUUGCCGUCUAUAAAAAAAUGUAGUCGGCAAAAAAGAAACACACCACGCGGAUCGAUCACGCGGAUCGAUGACGUGGCAUGAUCCCGCCCGUCGGAUGACAAACGUGGGAUGACACACAUACUUCUAUUUUACCGUCUUUAACAAAACGGAUGACGGCAAAGCUUUAUUUUUCCGUGUGUAAUAAAAAACGCAGAUAGCAAAGACAUAUUUUACCGUCUAUAAAAAAAUGAAACGGCAAACUUAUAUUUUGCCGUCUUUAAUAAAAAUGCAGUCGGCAAAGAUAAUUUUCUUGUCUUUGCCGUCAGUUUCAAAACAACUGUAGGCAAAAUUAUAUUAUCCAGUUUUCAAUUUUUUUGAAAAUGUAAACAAAGUCCGAAAAAUAUGAAAUUUGGUCUCAUGUUAGUUCAUAAGUCCUAGAAGAUGCAGAAAAAGUUUGAGAAAAUUUACAAAUUUUUAACAUGUCUAUUUUCUCAAAAUUACAAGGGUCAACAAACACAAAAAGGAUAUUGAAUUGCUAUUGGUUGAAAGCAACUCCCCUGGAUCGAUGACGUGGCACGGACCAUCACCCCCACCACGCAUCGCACGAACCAGGCAACCAGCCAUGCAUUAUUCUCUUUCUCUGAUCUAUGUCGUGGACAGGAGUGCCAGGCGCAUCCGCAACAUCCUCCUCUCCGCCUCUUGCCGGACCACGCCGCCAGCGAGACUCCCAGGCCUCCUCCCCCGUCGGCCCCGCUGGCCGCCGGCCUAGACUCCUCCCCCGUCGCCCCCGCCGACCACUGAGCCCGGCCUCGUCGCCCGUCGCACCCCGGCACAUCCCCACGUCCCUGCAGGCCUCCUCGCCGCGGCGCCAACGGCCACCUCGCGCGUCGGUCCUCCUCGCCCCGGCGCCAUCGGCCUCGUCGCCCGUCGCACCCCGGCGACCCCGGCACAUCCCUCGUCGUUCGUCGCACCCCGGCUCGAACUUCGGCCGUCUCUGCUCGUCCAUGGCUGGCUCGGUGGCAUUCGUGCCCUACCCCAUAUCCAGAUCCAGGAGCAGCGACCAGAUCGAGGAGGGACGCGUCACAACUCACAAACCCACCUCUCCUUCCAUGGCCUUGGCCGAGCGGGACCGGUGAUGCUUCUCCGACGAGGUCCUUGUUGCGUAUUAGUGGCGCUCAUCGAAUUAUAAUGGCAAACCCACCGAACGAACAUGCACAUAAACAAGAACACUCAUGUUAUUUUUAAAAAAAUAGAACAUCUUUGCCGUCUGGCAUUUUGGUUCGGCUCACAGCAAACAAUUGACGCCGUCCGUUGGUGGGAGGUUGUGUCAGAGUGAUUUUUUUGCCGUCUGUCUUAUAAUAGAUGACGGCAAAGUAUUUGUACUAACGGCAACAAUUUUGCCGUCUUUCCGAACAAAUGCUGACGGCAAAAAUACCCUUUGCGGGCACAUAGUCUGACGACAUUUUUUGUCGUCAUGAGUUGAUGGUAAAAUUUUUGCCGUCUGUAAUUCUUUCUUUGCCGUCUGUAGCGUGCUGACGGCAAAAUGCCCGAUUCCUGUAGUGAGACUGGCCCACGAAAACCGCCUUUCUUUCGCUUCGAGUCCUUCUCGACCAAAAUGUUGGGGUUCAAGGAGGUGGUCCAACAAGCUUGGUCUGCGCCCUCCUCAUACUCUCAGCCGGUCCAUGUCAUCAAUCACAAGUUCAAGGCCACAACACAUGGGCUCAGAUCUGGGAGCAAAGGCCUCUUCUCUGACAGCAAACUACAACUCCUCAUGGCCGUGGAUAUCAUUUACAGCUGGAUGUUGCUCAAGAGUCCCACGCACUCUCCGAGGAAGAAAGAUGGCUCCGUACUAACCUGAAACAUCAGGUUAAGGGUCUCCCUGCUCUGAAAAGAUUCCACACACGUCAAACCUCCAGAAUUCNNNNNNNNNNNNNNNNNNNNNNNNNNNNNNNNNNNNNNNNNNNNNNNNNNNNNNNNNNNNNNNNNNNNNNNNNNNNNNNNNNNNNNNNNNNNNNNNNNNNGCAUCUUGGGCGUGACAAGUUGGUAUCAGAGCAAGGACCGACCUAGGAGCCCCCUUGAUUGAUCGAACUUGGCCGAGUCGAGUCUAGUGAAAAACUAUUUGAGUCUUAGUUAUAUAUUGGAGAGUAGGAUUCUUUUUUCUCCUCUUCUAUGCUCCGGUGAGGAAUCUUGACGUAAUAAUUUAUUCUACUCCUCUUCUCACUCAAAAUUUUUUUAGGAUCACGCGGAUAUUUUUGAGAUCUAUAUGAUGCCGAUGUGACGGAGUUCUGUCUUGGUGCCUCCUGUCUGACUUGAUCUUCUUCCGGGGAGUUGAGCUCCAGGGGAUUCUCGAGCACAUCGUUAUCAUUCAGAUUUCUUAGUAUCUCAGGACGAAGGAUGUUCGUAAUUGCUUCAAUAAUAGUAGUGGCGAGAUAACCCCGAUGUCCCCAGUAUUGGUGCAGAUUGUUCGGGAGUACUGCCAUACUUUGUAUCGUUGUGGUUACGAGGGUCUGUUGUAGAUGAAGGUCCGAGAUUCUGGUCGUGUGUUGACGGAUGUGAUACAAGUGACGGGUUAGUAUAUGGAGUUGUGUGAUAUUACUCCUUGUAUCCGUGUACCAGAUUGCAUGACCAGAUACUUCGGGAAUUCAUAGGUGGGAAUUCCAGUAGUUGCUUAUAGGACAAUCUUCCAACAAAUAAAUGAUGUUAGGUUGGGGUUCGACAUCUAGUGGAUUCGUUUGUUCACGGUCGACUUACAGCGGUACACGUUGUGUCUUAAAGAGUCCUUGUAGCUUGCUACGACUCGGGGACGCUUCGUAUGUCUGGUGCACUGCCUUGCACUUGAUGACUACUGUAAAUCGUGCCCGUGCGAUCCUGUCCACGNNNNNNNNNNNNNNNNNNNNNNNNNNNNNNNNNNNNNNNNNNNNNNNNNNNNNNNNNNNNNNNNNNNNNNNNNNNNNNNNNNNNNNNNNNNNNNNNNNNNGUUAUGGGGACCCCCUUGAUAAUUCGUUUUAGAUUAAGGCUGGUCUGGCAAGGCCCAACCUUGGUUCUACAUUUGCCUAAACACCUAAUAAAAUUGCAUAGGGACUUUCCGGACCCCGAGGAUAAUUUAAUCAACCCCCGGGCCAGUGCUCCUCAUGAGUGUUGGUCCACCCACCUAGCAGUCGGCGGUGCCACCACGGGGCAACUCGAGGUUUGGCUACCGUCCACUUUGCAUAGACGGUGUGUCCUGAGAACGAGAUACGCGGCUCCUAUCGGGUUCGUCGACACACCGGGUGGCCUUGCUGGAUUAGUUUUACCUUUGACGAGAUAUCUUGUGCAUCGGGACUCCGGUGAUGCUUUGGGUAAUCUCAGAGUUGAGGUUUUCCACUAGGGAAUCCGACGAGAUCGCGAGCUUCGUGAUUGAGGAUUUCUAUGCGGCUUGUGGUAAUUUGUGAUGGACUAGUUGGAGCACCCCUGCAGGGUUAAAUCUUUCGGAAAGCCGUGCCCGCGGUUAUGUGGCAACGUGGAAGCUUUGUUUAACACUGGUUCUAGAUAACUUGAAGUUAAUUAAUUAAAACAUGCCAACUGUGUGCGUAACCGUGACUGUCUCUUUCGUGAGUUCUUUCUCCGAUCGAGGACACGGUGGGGUUAUGUCUGACGUAGGUAGGUGUUCAGGAUCAUUCAUUUGAUCUUCUGUAGUUCACGUCCGUUAUGUGUAGAUCUCCCCCCUCUUAAUUCUGGUACUCGUAAGUUAGCCACCAAAUAUGUGCUUAGCCGCUGCUGCAACCUCACCACUUAACCUUGCCUCACCCAUUAAGCUUUGCUAGUCUUGAUACCUUUGGAAAUGAGAUUGCUGAGUCCCCUGUGGCUCACAGAUUACUACAACACCAGUUGCAGGUACAGGUAAAGGUUACAUGACGCGAGCGCGUUGAUUGUUCAUUUUGAGUUGCCUCUUCUUCUUCUUCUNNNNNNNNNNNNNNNNNNNNNNNNNNNNNNNNNNNNNNNNNNNNNNNNNNNNNNNNNNNNNNNNNNNNNNNNNNNNNNNNNNNNNNNNNNNNNNNNNNNNNNNNNNNNNNNNNNNNNNNNNNNNNNNNNNNNNNNNNNNNNNNNNNNNNNNNNNNNNNNNNNNNNNNNNNNNNNNNNNNNNNNNNNNNNNNNNNNNNNNNNNNNNNNNNNNNNNNNNNNNNNNNNNNNNNNNNNNNNNNNNNNNNNNNNNNNNNNNNNNNNNNNNNNNNNNNNNNNNNNNNNNNNNNNNNNNNNNNNNNNNNNNNNNNNNNNNNNNNNNNNNNNNNNNNNNNNNNNNNNNNNUUCUUCUUCUUCUUCUUGGAUCUAGGAUGGGUUCCAGGCCGGCAGCCUGGGAUAGCAAGGAUGGACGUCGUUCUUCUUUUGUCGUUUAUUUUCGUCCGUAGUCGGACCCUGCUCUUACUCUUGAUGAUUAUGUAAUGUACUGAUGUGACUCUGAUGUAGCUUGUGGCGAGUGUAAGCCAAUUCUAUAUUAUCUCUUCUUUUCAGUACAUGUACUUGUAACGAUAUCCAUUCUUGCGACACGACGAGAUGCGCUUCUAUCCCUGACGAGGCCCUCGUGCCAAAUUGAGGAUAGGAUCGCAUCUUGGGCGUGACANNNNNNNNNNNNNNNNNNNNNNNNNNNNNNNNNNNNNNNNNNNNNNNNNNNNNNNNNNNNNNNNNNNNNNNNNNNNNNNNNNNNNNNNNNNNNNNNNNNNGCAUUAAAUAUGGUGAUUAAAUAGCAACCUACACGUAGAGAACAUCUCCAACGGAGCUACGGAUCAAAAGUUACGAGCACCGCAAGAUAUGAUGACAUGAAUGCGAUAUGUGUGCAACGACGGCUACGAGCGCUUCAAAACAACCAACCCACAAGAGAAAAUGAAACUACACAAGAUUCUAAGCAAGUUUCUUGUAGGACACGAUCAAAACGGAGCUACGGUUCGAAAACUACGAGCAAAACAAGAAAUGACUACAAACUGCCAAAACCAGCCACCUAGCAACUUAUACGCCUCACAACUUCGGCUACACAACUCCGAUAAACUCAAGCAAGGCAUGGCAUGAAAGAGGGCAAGACGCACUACUACAAACAACUAACAACAACUAGCAUGGCACCAAGGAGCACUAGGAAAAGAAGACACAAAAUGGCAUCUCAAACACUAUUCCAGACUUAGUGAAAAUUACACCUCGUGAAAGUGCAGUUUUCAGCCUGAAGCUAUAUUGACAGCAGCAAAAACCUAAUAUACAGGACUCCAAAUGGCAUGAAACUUAACAGCAUGCUUGAGAAACAUAAGGGGUACAACUAACUCCAUUGGAGCAACUCCAAAAGAUCUACAGACCACAAGCUANNNNNNNNNNNNNNNNNNNNNNNNNNNNNNNNNNNNNNNNNNNNNNNNNNNNNNNNNNNNNNNNNNNNNNNNNNNNNNNNNNNNNNNNNNNNNNNNNNNNGAUCUAGGAUGGGUUCCAGGCCGGCAGCCUGGGAUAGCAAGGAUGGACGUCGUUCUUCUUUUGUCGUUUAUCUUCGUCCGUAGUCGGACCCUGCUCUUACUCUUGAUGAUUAUGUAAUGUACUGAUGUGACUCUGAUGUAGCUUGUGGCGAGUGUAAGCCAAUUCUAUAUAACUCUUCUUUUCAGUAGAUGUACUUGUAACGAUAUCCAUUCUUGCGACACGACGAGAUGCGCUUCUAUCCCUGACGAGGCCCUCGUGCCAAAUUGAGGAUAGGGUCGCAUCUUGGGCGUGACAGCCUUCCACCUUUUACCAAGUAUAUAGGUGCAUUAAAUUAAAUAGCAUUAAAUAUGGUGAUUAAAUAGCAACCUACACGUAGAGAACAUCUCCAACGGAGCUACGGAUCAAAAGUUACGAGCACCGCAAGAUAUGAUGACAUGAAUGCGAUAUGUGUGCAACGACGGCUACGAGCGCUUCAAAACAACCAACCCACAAGAGAAAAUGAAACUACACAAGAUUCUAAGCAAGUUUCNNNNNNNNNNNNNNNNNNNNNNNNNNNNNNNNNNNNNNNNNNNNNNNNNNNNNNNNNNNNNNNNNNNNNNNNNNNNNNNNNNNNNNNNNNNNNNNNNNNNCAACUGGUGUUGUAGUAGUCUGUGAGCCACAGGGGACUCAGCAAUCUCAUUUCCAAAGGUAUCAAGACUAGCAAAGCUUAUUGGGUGAGGCAUGGUUAAGUGGUGAGGUUGCAGCAGCGGCUAAGCAUAUAUAUGGUGGCUAACUUACGAGUACAAGAAAUAAGAGGGGGGAAAUCUACGCAUAACGGACGUCACUACAGAUGAUCAAAAGAAUGAUCCUGAACACCUACCUACGUCAGACAUAACCCCACCGUGUCCUCGAUCGGAGAAGGAACUCACGAAAGAGACAGUCACGGCUACGCACUCAGUUGGCAUAUUUUAAUUAAGUUACUUCAAGUUAUCUAUAACCAGUGUUAAACAAAGUUUCCACGUUGCCACAUAACCGCGGGCACGGCUUUCCGAAAGAUUUAACCCUGCAGGGGUGCUCCAAGUAGUCCAUCACAAAUUACCACAAGCCGCAUAGAAAUCCUCAAUCACGAAGCUCGCGAUCUCGUCGGAUUCCCUAGUGGAAAACCUCAACUNNNNNNNNNNNNNNNNNNNNNNNNNNNNNNNNNNNNNNNNNNNNNNNNNNNNNNNNNNNNNNNNNNNNNNNNNNNNNNNNNNNNNNNNNNNNNNNNNNNNCAAAACUGACAAUCUCUCCCUAAGUAGCAAGGUUUCGAACGAGAACUCAUCUCUUACAAAGGGAUUUCAUUUUUUUAACUUAUUUGAACUCCAUACUUUUUGUGUGUUCAAAAUGCACCAUUCAAAGGGACAUCACAAAAUUUCAACAAUUUCUGACUUCAUUUGGUAUAUUUCUUGCAUUUACUUAUUUUUUUUGAGCUAGUUGACCCUGAAAUUGAAAAGCACUACAAAUGAACUCUGAAAAUGUUGAAAGUUGGCAUGCUAUCAUCAUUUCACCCACAUAGCAUGUGUUAAAAAGUUGAGAGGGCUACGACAAAAACUGGAUGCACUUCGUGUACAAAACUGACAAUCUCUCUCAAAGUAGCAGGGUUUCGAACGAGAACUCAUCUCUUACAAAGGGAUUUCAUUUUUUUAACUUAUUUGAACUGAAGAAUUUUUGUAUAUAUAUGUGGUCGAAAUGCAUGAUACCAUGAAGUUAGAAAGGGCUAAACCAUUCAAAAGUAGCAAAUGAAGUUAGAAAGGGCUAAACCAUUCAAAUUUGGAAACUAUAAUGGCACAAACAGAAACUAGACAUAUAUAAAUUGGUCCAAGAAAUACAUGAUACUAGUCCAAACAGUACAUAAUAAUAGCUACAAUAGAUAUAUAUAUACAAGUGUUCGACGUUAAGAACACUACUCGUCUGAAUCAUCUGAAUCAGAAUGUCCAACUACCUCGAGGUGACGCUGGCCAUAGUGGACGACUCGAAUCUUGCGGUACAACUCGUAUGAAACAUAUGCAUCUUUUGUUGCAUACUCAAUGUUGAUAGGAUCAAGUGGGCCCUUCUCCCAAAGUCUGUGCUGAGACCUUGGGAAACUGGUCUUCAUAUCAGCAUAUGAAUCGCCGAUCAAGGCAACUGCCAUACGAGCCAUCGAAGUCCUGUCAUGUUGAAGCUUGAAUAUCGUUUGGAGAUCAACGUGGCAACCAGCUGGUAUCUCAAUACCGAAGCUGUGCCUCAUCUUCAGCCUGUCGUUCCUUAUGUCAACGGAAGCAAAAGUGACGCCGCUGCCAAGGAACUCCAUGAGUCCUGGACAAUGCUUGUCACUCCUGCAACAGAAACAAAUUAAAAUGGACCAAAUGUUACAUACUGCUGCAAUAAGGAAACAUGUUUCACUACAACUAAAGAGAAACUUAUCUUUAGGAUUCAUAUAGAACAUAUGCAAUGGAAACUAGAGAGAUCACUACAACUAUUUGAAGCGAACCAACUAUGAUUCCAAUGGAACAUAUUAAACACUAGUUCAUUCUAAUACGAUUUUUGCAGAUUAUGGAAAACUAUUCCAAUUAGAUUGUGCUCCCCUUCAACUAAUCAAAAUUGUUUCACUACAACUAUUUGAAGGGAACCAACUAUGAUAGAAACAAAUAAACUUAUACGUGGAAUUCACUAUGAUAGAUUAUGGACAUUAUGCAUAAUAUGCAAACAAAAGAAAGCUUGUUAACUAGUAAAUCCAAACUACAAACUAAGUCUUAUCGGAUUGACAAAAUUCGAUCCAAUGUGAAUUAUAAAUGAACACAAAUAAAUCUAUUCCUACUAAAUAUAAUAUUAAGUAUAAUCGGACUCUAGCUACACUACUAAAUCAACACAAAAGAGUACGUAGCAUGUCCUAUUCAACACUAAAACAUAUUGAACGCUAAAAAAUUGUACAAUAACAAAUUAAUUUCUACUAAAUAUAAUCAGAUACUACACUACUAAAACCAAUUCCACACAUACUACACUCAGUGGCGAAGCCACAUGGAGAGGAGUGUGGUCAAUUGACCACACAGGUUUUUGGCAAAUCCAUUGUACAGAAGAAGAAACCAUGUAUUUUUUUAUAAAUUUAGAAAAAAAACACAUGUAUAUGACAUUGUAGAAUUGAAAUGACAUCACACACUUCUCAUCCUGGCACCGCCACUGACUACACUACUAAAUCAAAUGUACAAAUACACAAAAUCUACUACGCUACUUAAUCAGAUACACAAAUACACAAAAUCCAUGUGAACGUGGGAGUAGUGACCCUAGGGGAGGGAUUAUCAGAUACACAAAUACACAAAGAAAGCCUCAGAACUUACUUCGCCCAUUGGAAGAUCACGACAUGGCUUGCGAAGCAUAUUUGAAUGACGGCAACACCACGUUGAUCGGCCGUGUACUCCAGAUCAAGGCCGAAGAACUUCUCAUGAUCCGGUGCGGGGUUAAACCAUCGUUCCUUCAACUGUUGAAGGAAAAACGGCACCUCCUCGCUCAGGUUCGUGUACACGACACGGAGCUUCGUCGCGCCAUGCGCGACCACCUCACGAAAGAUAGUUGGCAUGGUGGAAGAAGAGAAGGGAAGAAGAGAGGAGAAGAAGAGAGGGCGACGCGACAGAGAAGAAGAACAGAGAGGGUGACGCGAGAGAGAAGAAGAACAGAGAAAUGGCGAUUGUACGCUUCGGUUCGUGCUUUUCAUCGCCCGAAACGACGCGGGAUUUAAACCGUUUGGGCCUUUAGUCCCGGGUUGAGCCACCAACCGGGACUAAAGAGGUAUACCAAACGGUUGCCACCACUACGGCAGACCACGUGUUAGGCUUUUAGUCCCGGGUUCAACCACCAACCGGGACUAAAGAGGUAUGCCAAACGGUUGCCACCACUACGGCAGGCCACGUGUUAGGCGUUUAGUCCCGGGUUCAACCACCAACCGGGACUAAAGAGGUAUGCCAACGGUCGCCCCACUACGGCAGGCCACGUGUUAGUCCUUUAGUCCCGGGUUGAGACGCCAACCGGGACUAAAGAGGUAUACCAACGGUUGCCACCACCACGGCAGGCCACGUGUUAGUCCUUUAGUCCCGGGUUGAGCCACCAACCGGGACUAAAGGGGGAUACGAACGGUUGCCACCACCACUGCCCACCGCGUAGCCCUUUAGUCCCGGUUUGUGACACGAACCGGGACUAAAGGCUCCUUACGGGCCGGGACUAAAGCCUCGAGGGAGGCAUUGAGAAUUGGGGCGACGUGGCCGGGCCUUUAGUCCCGGCCCAGAGGCACUCCGGGACUAAAUGGUCCAGGCCAAAGGCCCGUUUUCUACUAGUGAAGAUCUCCACAACCUUUCAAUUGGAGGGAUUGUCUCUCAAGACCAAUUUCUCCUAGAGAUUUGGAAGAGAACUACCCUAGAUCGCUUUACUUUCUUGUCAUGUUAUUAGAUGCCAGAUGUACCCCUUCUAUUGAGUUGAGUUUUGAUGGAUUAUUUUGAAUCUUUCCUUAAUUGUCCCUCUUUUCGUGUUCCCCAUGUGAUUUUGCCUAGGCCUUGUCUUAAAUCAUGUGGUAUAAUGAUCAAGGUUGGCAUGAUUUGGACCCCAUCCCCUAAUUUUCUAGCAUUAUUUUGAAUUAUUUUCUUACCUAACUCGAAAAUUCUCACCCACCCCAAAAUAUAUAUAGUAUCACCUGAUUUUGAGCGAUUUGUUGUAUCUAGUGACUAUUGGUUGGGUUUGAUACACGGAUCUGGUGUUUUGCAAGUUGUUCAAAAAAUGUUCGUUAAUUUCAAAACAUCCACCAACUUCGAAAAAUAUGUUCGUCUAUUCUAGAAUUGUUCUACAGACAUAAUACUGAUAAAAAUCAAAGAUGCACAAGCAGGAUAGUGGCUAACGCCUAGCGCUUCUAGCGGGGAUACUAGGGAUCGAUCCCGCGAAUAUUCCGAGUUGUGCACGGGCACCUCAAAAGAAAGCAUUUUUACUGCAAAAAUCAUAACAUUUUACAAACACACACACACACACACACACACAGGCAUAUAUACUACACAUGUGUAAUAAUUCAUUUCAUUUUAAAUUCACAAGUGGCGUACAACAAAAAAGACAAAUAUAUAUUUUCAAAUGGGCCAGAUUUUUUUGUGAUUAGGCCUGAAAUUUGGUUUUGUACAGCUAACAAAUUACAUUUAGUCAAAACAAAACUUUAUGGAUCAGCAGUGAAUAGAUACAAGUUUCCACAGAAUUAUCUUCAGUAUUUUUUGAAACUUUUAAUUAUGGUUUUUGAUUUUUUCGAAAAAAGGGCACACAAACUUCCCCUUUCUUUUUCUCACGCAAAUGCCUUCAUGGGCUGGCCCUUGUGCGGGGCUUGACUCCUCUACUUUUUUCAUUUUCUUUUUUGUUCUUUUCUUUUCUCAUUCUGUUUUCUUCCUUCUUUCAACUAAUUUGGAUUUUUGCAACUUUUCAAAGACAUAUUCAAGAAACCAUAAAAUUUAUGUGAGUUCCAAAAAUGUUAAGGAAAUCAUAUUUUUUGUGGAUUAAAAAAAUGUAGCGGUUUUGCACAAUUGGUCAUCAAUUAUAAAAAGUAUUCACGUUUUACAAAAAUGGUCAGAAAGUAAAACCAUGUUCAUGAUUUUAACAAAAUGAUAGUGUAUAAAUUUUUUAGAAAAUAUUAAGAGAUCUGAAGAAAAAUCCAUGAAAUUUUAGAAAAUGUUCACAUAAAUUAAAAAAUGCAGAUUUUUAAAAUUUAUUCCCAAUUUUUAAAAAAGUCUCAACAAUUCAAAAAAUGUUUGUUGAGUAGAAAAUUUUUCAUGAACUCAAAAAUUGUUAAACUAUUUCAAACAAUGUUCGUCAAUUUUUAUAAAAUCCAAAAUUUUAAAACAAUGUUUAUCGAUUUAAAAAACUGUUCGCCGAUUCAAAAAUCUUUUAUGUCUAUGAUUUGAUUAGUUUUUCAAAAGUCCUUAUAUGUCUAGACGUUGGGAGUAGUUCGUUGUCGAUGAGAUUUUUUAAAAGUUUUAAGCAUUUCCUUGCGCAACACAAUGAAAAGUUUGUGGCGUACAGUGGCAAACUUAUAGCCUUGGAUUUACAUUGUCCAAUGUAUUGUGAUCAGCGUGGGCAUCGCACCAUCAUCAAUGUGCGUGGGAAGAAAAAUAAGUGGCAACAUGGUGAGCCACCGUGUUAAAAUAGAAGACCUUCGUAUGUCAGAGUAUUGAGUCAUACUCAUUUGACUUUCGCAUAAUUUAUUUGUCUCCCGUUACAAUACACGGACAUGUUUGCUAGUAUUCAUAAUAGGAAUUGCCUUCGGGCGACGUCUAGUGGGCUAAUCCGUUAGCGUUGUUUGGUCACCUCAUGCUUAUGUUCGUUUUGCUUCAUUUUUCUGUGUUUAUUUUCGUUUUCCUUUUUUUUAUUUCUUUGGUUUUAUUUCUUUUCUCACGGAUUUUCUUUGAUUUUACAAAAAAAAUAUUAUUUGUUUUUUUUAUUUCUUCGUUAUACUUUAGCUUUCUUUUGUUUCUUUCAAGUUUUUUUUUCAGAUUUUCUUGGUUUUCUAUUCUUUCUAGUCUGUUUUCUUUUUUUUUAACACAUAUCUUCUUUUUCUCAGUGCAAAUUUUUUAUUUCUGAAGGACGUAUGCACUAAUCAAUAAAGACUAGCUAUCUUAGCUAAAGAAAAAAAACACAAUAAGUCGUACAUAGUCUCCCCCGAAUGGGGUGGAGUUUUUGUCGGGACGCAGUGAGGACGGGAUGGGCUAGAGUGGUCUGGUCCAGCGUCGGGGCUGUGUUCGGGCAUGUUUGAUCCGCCUCAUAUCCACCCCAUGUGUGCGCUUUGGUUUGAGCGAUGCAUACCUUAGUUGUUUGUACUAGGUAUCGGUUGGCCGGUUGUAUGCUUUUUAACCACACAAUGACCGGGACGGAUGUGUAGGUGAGUGUAGGAGCCGUUCGAUCUUUAUUUCUGUUGUUGGAUAGCUGAACCUUAAAACACUAACAGAAGAACAGAACACCUCGGCUUGUUGGUGCCACGGAGGGUAAUCUGUUUCUGAGAUGGUAGACAUGGAGUGGUGUUGUGGUCAUGGAACCUAAACCAUUCUAGCUAGAAUGGUCUUCAUUUAUGUAUGUCUUAUAAGUUUCAGCAAUGAAAUUGGGGGGCAAUCCCCUCAAUUCCGAAAAAUGUGGUUUAACAGGCCGGGUGCCGGGAAGAAGAGGCCAGCCCAUCGCGCGAGCAUUCACCAUGUUCCAGGAAACACGGCGGCGCGACAGAUAGGCAUGGACCUGCCUGGCAGUGGACAUCGCAUAGCUCGAACUCCCGAGCAUGUACACUCAUGAUCGGUGGAGGGCGAUGCGGGGCACAAUCUCCUCAUUUUUGGGGGCUUUUCUUGAAUCCUCUGUGAUUGGCACGUCCCAGAAGUCGGGGUCUAUUCCCUACUAGAUUUGCUGCCGGAGAUGACCAUGAUGACGCGGGAGGGGAAGAGACGAAGAGCGGAGCGGAUGUAGUGGAGUGGGACUAGGGAGUACGAGAGUAGGGCUUUGGUCCGUCUUAGGAUAGGGUGGGAAUUUUCUAGGGACACAGUUAGGACGGGGUGGGUUACCGCGGCCGAUUCAACGAGGUGGCCAUGUUGGAACGUGUUUGGUCUGUCCCAUAUCCGUUUCACAUAUUGGCUUGUGUUUGAGGGGUAUUAGGCAUCGUCAAUGUUUGGACUGAGCAUAGGUGGACCAGUUGUGUGCUAAUUUUUAACUUAUGAGAAGUUUAGGUGAGUAUAGCGAGCCAUUCGAUCUUAUUUGACCACCUUCGUCUCCACUGUUGGAUAACUGAAGCUUGAAACAUGAGAGCAAUCAAUGGGUGAGUAUUCGUUCAGAAGCCUCUCCAAGGGUCACUUUGGAUCAAUUGAAAAAACUCGUCGACAAGGUAUGUUCGUAAUUCCCUUCAUGACUCGUUUAGGAAUAACGGAUUCGUGGGGUGGUUGGAGUAUUUCAGGAGGAACUGUAACAAAUCCGGGUAUUUGGAGUUAUGAAGGUGUGGCAGCUACGCAUAUUGUGUUUUCUGGCUUGUGUUUCGUUGUACUCUUGACAUUUCCUUCAAAUUUUGUUUAUUUUAUCUUUUUUCGUUUUUGGUUUUUAGAUGAUUUUUUUUGGGAGGGGGUGGGGGGUUUGGCUUUUCGGUUUUCCCAAGUUUUUCUAGGAUUUAGACCAAAAAAAUUAUUAAAAAACUAUUUGCAUGAAAAAAACAUGUUUUUUUCUUUUUGUGGAGGCACAAAUUUGCUUUCACAAGAGGCACGUCUGUGUUUCUCAAAAAGAGAAUAAAAAUGCAUUUUCUUUGCUUUCUUCCGUGAGAGUCGUGCCUCUGAAAAGGGAAAAAAGUUCUCCCGAUUUGGAUUUUUUUCAUCCGUUUUUUUCUUUCAUGAAGAAAAGUUCAUCGAAAUGUAUCAACAUCGCAUCAAGUUUUGGAGAUCUCAACGCGAGAAAUCCAACAAAAAAACUGUUCAACAUUUGGACGCAUGAUUUGAAAAAUAAAACUUGUUGGAUAAACGAAUCUUAGAAAAAAGAAAAGAUACCACAUUGCGAUAAAUGAUGCAGACGCAGUACAAUCUGAAAUAGUUGGAAUGACCUUAAAAAAUUGCUACUUACUGAGUAGGGUUUUUUGGAGCUCGGCCUCCAUGAAGCCUUUUAUUUUUGAAAAUUUCCAAAUUCAAACUUUCUGGUUUCAAAACAAAACUGAAAAAAUAUGCAAGUACACAAUGAUCAAACGUAUACGUGUGCAAAAAUUUAGGAUGAAAUACUUUGAGAUGCAGUCUGUGCAAAAAUUCAUGUACUUUUGAAAUGAAUAGUAUCAUGUGUUAAAAAGCCACAAAUAUUCUUUUCUUGCACAGACCUUAUUUCAACGUAUUUUGUCCUAAAAAUUUACACCCAUAUGUGUUAUGCCUCCAUGUAUAUCUGCAUUUUUUCUCAGAUUUUUUAAAAUUGUAAAAACAUGAAUUUUGGGUUUUUUUCAAAAACCGGCCUUCAUGGAGGCCGAGCUCCAAAAGGCAUUUUGGCUUACUUAUAUUGGUUGAAACGUUAGUUGUCUAUAAUAAGUUAAUAACAGGCCGGCCCAUCCCGCGAGCAUUCACCGCAUUCCAGAAAACACGGCUGCCGGCCUCCGUUUCAUCGGAGGAGCACCAGUCAACACGGUCCCUAGAGGGGCUGCGGGUAGAGGCAGGGGACGGCAUGGCGGACAAGGGAGUCGGCGGUCCGAGUGACCAGCGAAAUAGCCAAACUGAGAUUAACCAAGAGCCUGAGCAGAUCGAAUUCAACAUCUUUUUACUUCCACGGUAAAUGAAUGGCUAUAGUUUCUUGUGCUACUGCUUUUGUCUGAAUAUAGUCAGAACCCUCUAAUUCAUCGGCUAGCAGUUGGUUCAAUUUCCUGUUCCGCCACAUAUCUUUAGAGAGAUGGUGCGGAUAUAUUUGAUUUUCCCAUGCCAGGCAAUGAAGAAUCUAAACAAACACAGCUAUCGAUCUGCUUAAUUUGGCACAAGGUUUACCUUGACUGGUCCUGUAUCAUGAUCUUCAAAAUAAUUAUCGAUACAAAGUUGUUGAAUGCCCUUUUCCUCUUGUCUGUAUGCACCAAUUUGGUGCGGAUGCCAGUGGUAAUCCUCCUCUUGGAAACCAAAUUCCAUUGCAAGCUUCGUCACCUGUAAGCCGGGCCUGCCUCUGCCUGCGCAUUAAUCAGGGUGAUCAAAGUAGGAAGUGUAAGCAAUAUAGUAGAAGCCAUAUGAUCAUUCUAGCAAAAAUCGAUUCGGCCGGCCAAAUGAAGAUUUCCUUCUACACGGCACUCAUCGAAGCUCGAGGUGAUCUUCAAUGGUGAGGAUCACUCACCCCAUGGUGUCGACGGCGGUAAGGCCUCCUCCUCGUUGCCCUUCAAAGCUGAAGACCACCAACUCAUCCUCGGGUUAUGUCAUUGCCCGAUUGUGCUGCUGGUGAUUGUUUGGCUUGCUGGAGCUGCUCUCUUAUACAAGUAUAGUUAUUAUAGAGUUGUUGGACAAAACACCAGGAAUUCAAUAUACCGUGUUGAAUUGUAAGCUGGACCUAUAGUACAUAAAAAAAAUACAUAUGAGAACGACUUAAAAAGAUUGGCAAUUACCGUGUGGGUUCUCAAAGGAAGGUUGACUUGACCUGGCCGUGCACUCAACCCCUGAGAGCUCCCUAUUUCUCAAAGGAAGCUGCAAAGAUUUGCUUGCAUAUAUAGUUUCCAUUCCACCAAACAAGCAGUUUGCCCACGAUUAUGCGCUGCAGCUGAAUUAAGAUUGUGCAAGGGCAGCCUUAGGAAGCUUCCGGCCGGCCUGGUAAUUUAUGUUGAUUUUCAUCUGUCUUGACUUGUUUGCGGUUAUCAACAUUCACCUGAUAAUCAUGGGCCAUCAAAUAUUUGCUAGGGGCUUUCUCAGCUGAAAUAAUCAUAGUACGUCUUGAAGCAAAUUUCCUUACAUCUUGGAUCUACAAAGGUGACCCAUAGACGAUGGUAAGAAUCCAGUACGUCUUGAAGCAACUUUCCUUUCCUUUUUAUUCAGUCUUGUUUGAAUGAAUGUAAAUGAAGUAUUUUUGUGAUAUGUUGGUCGAGCUUUUCAUUUCCGUUUAUGUACAUCUUGUGAUCUACUCUUCGAGCUCAUCAAGAUUGAAGUCGCUCUUCUCUAAUAAAGCCGUGGCUUUUGGUUGUGCACCAGGACAUUGAUCCGGAGCACGCGAAACGUGUCUUUGUCGAAAAAUUGAAGAACAGGCCGGGUUCGACUUCUCGCCGAAGGUGCCGUGAUAAUGGUCUGCCCAGUUCUUCUUGCUGCCUCGCUGAACAAGGUUCAGACGACGAGCAACGGACAUGGCUUCGCGCGCGGCAGCAUCUCUCCAUCAGUGGCGGACCUAGGAUAAAAACUGAGUGGGGGCACUCAUUUAUGAAAAACUCAUGAACAUGUUUGCACAAUCAUAUAAAAACGCUUAGUGCUUUUCAUCCAUAAAAAAUAUCUAGCAUUUUUUCUAUAAUAAUAAGAUACUUGAUCCACGUUCUAAACAAAAGAUACUUCAUCCAGUAGUAACAUCAUAAGUUUAUCAUUAAAUUAAGCAAAACUUACAUUUUAUAUCCCAGUAGUUCAUCUGUAGCAAAAGGCCAUUACAUUUCCUUUCUCCCACGACGAUCUUUCAUCUUAUGAAAACGAUCAACAAUCACUUCAUCGGUAAUUGUGUCCAGUCAGCAGUGUUUGUAUCUAGGGGAGUUUACUAAUUACUAGUUGGGGAAAAGGAUUAGGGAGAUGCAUGCAGGACCGAGUAGCAGACUAGCACUCUAGCAGUUGAGAGAUGAGCCUACGCAGCGUACAUACCUGAUCAGAGAUAGAGAUUAGUUGGUUCAGUCCUGAGUUGGUUGCUGCUGCCUGCGCUACACACAGGGCCUUCGACGCUGGCCGCCGCUGCCUACUGCUAACGCCCAAUGCUGACGCUGCUGUCGGCGGCCGGCGACGGGCGACCGAAUUGUCCGAGAUGCGAUCCACCGAUGGUCCAACUCCAACCAAGCAGCGGCCGAGGACACAGGGCUCGCCUCUUCGUUUUUUUCGCUAUUAAUCCCAGAGUCGAAGCGGCAGGCUUCGGGCUUCAGGCUUAAUUUUAUGUGAUUAGCUUUGUUUAUUGGGCUUUCUAAUCGGAGUGGGGGCACAGCUAAAUCCUGACUGGGGGCCUUGUAGCUCGCCUCGGACCUAGUACGAGGAGGACCAAGAAUCGAGUGGGGUCCUGGGCCCCCGCUCCCUAUAACAUAGGUCCGCCCCUGCUCUCCAUUGUCGGCCUUAACUCUUGUAGCUGGUUUACUAUCGUUCCUCUGCCUCUGCAUCUGCUUGUCUUUUAGGAUUGUAACAGACAGGCUGGCGCACUUGCUGUUUGUGGGCUCCAAGUGGCUCGUCCACCUCUGUGCCCUUCUGUUGGGCAUCCUACUUCUUCGUCGACCGGAAACACGUCUAUUACGUGCCUAUUCCUGGCGUCUCCAUAUUCUUUGUCCUUCGGCGCUGCUGGAAGAUGUACCGGCAUGACCAUGGUCGCGAUGCGGUGUUGUACACAGGCGAUCACCAAGGCAGGCUUGAAACCUCGGUCGAUUUCUCGGCCUCCGUCACUGCCCUUCUGUUUCUGGGGUUGGAAGGCUUGGCAUUGGAGGGGCAGAGUAGAAGCGCACAGAGACUGCGAGCUGCCUCGCUCGUGUUGAGCUUCAUUGCUUGCCUUGCGGGCGUGCUUUUCAUGCUGCUGGCUACGGUGCCUCCAAUGAUCACAUGCGCUGAUCAAAGCAACGCCGCAUGCAACUACAUCGAGGCUAUGAACAAGUUUCUGGCCGGCUUCUUCGCCCUCAACGUGUUUUUGAUCACGUGGGCGCCGCUGGGAGAGCUGGCGUGGCUAGUGUGGAUUCAGCUAUUGGUUUCUCUACUCGCUUGGGCAUACGAAAGUCUUACCGACACCGAACCGCAAGAUCAACAGCAACAUGUUAUGCCGGCGACAAUGGAGCUAACCAAGGUCAUCUCUGCGGGCUUCCUGGCUGUAUCGGUGCCAGCCGUCAGUAACAAGUCAGUUAGCGGCUUCACCUGUGCGUUCGUGCUCAUCACCGGAACAGCUGUUAUCACAGGCAUCUUAUGGAGAGUUUUGACGCACUGGACGCCCGCGGGGAGCUCAAUGAUCAAAGCUUUUAAUUUUGCUUGUUUCUGUACCCAUCUGUAUGUUUGUGCUGCUGUCACUCCGUUUUCAUUCAUGGCUUACAAGUUACAACGCUCUAAUGAGCUGAAGCUUUUGUAGCCUAAUAAACAGUCAGGUGAAUUUCAUUGAGGCUUGCUCCAGUGCUUCUAGUCGUUGCUAGUUGGUCGGCGUAGCUGGAUGUAAUAGUUGUUGCUUCUACUGUUUUCCGUAGUACCACUAGUAGAAAACAGGACUAUCAUUUCGGCCCUCGCCAGCCCAUUAGUCCCGGUUCUUCAAGAACCGGGACCAAUGGGGGGUAUUAGACCCGGUUCGUGAGCCCAGGGGGUCGGCCGGGGCCUCCUGGGCAUUGGUCCCGGUUCGUGUGUAACCAUUUGUCCCGGUUCGAGCCACGAACCGGGCCCAAUGGUCCUCGCUGCUGGCCCACAACCAUUGGUCCCGGUUCGUGGCUUGAACCGGGACAAAUAACUUGCCUACAUAUACCCACCGCCGCGGUAGAGCACUCCACAGUGCUCUGUUUUUGUCAAGCCGGCGAGGGGAGGGCAUUUGGGUGCUCUAGUUCUUAUCUUCUUUCUGAAAGAAAAAAAUUCUGACUUCAGAUAGAUACUUGUCUAAUUUUCUUACUUUUAUUAUUCCUUGUUAUUAUAUAGUGCGAUGGUUUUGGUAUCCGCCCCCGUCGGCCCUCGUCCUGUCUAUGAUUCAGAUGUGGUAUAUAUUAUCUUUUCAUAACUAUUUGGUUCAUUUAUUGUUUAUGACAAUUAUGCCGACCAAUGUGACAUAGAUUGUAUUUAUCUAGGAGCUUGUUGAACCGGAAAUUCCAACCGACCCUAUUGUCGAGAGGUUAAAUUUAGUUGAAGAAGAAAACAAUUACUUGAAGAAAAAACUAAGAAAAAUUGAGGAGGAGAAGAUGAUAUUGGAGUUGCAUGUUGCGGAUGUCGUCAAUGAUCACAAGAUCAAAAUGGAUGCAAUGCGGUUGAAGAUUAAAAAUAUUAGAAAAUAUGUCAUUCAUACCGAGGCUUGGUAUCAUUAUGCAGUUGGAUCAGUUGUUACCUUGAUUGCGGUUAUGAUCGCAUUUGUUUUUGCAUUGAAAUGUUUUACAUAAUUUUAAUGUAUGGUUUAAUUAGAUGCCCUGGAGAGCUAUAUGUUGUUCAAUGAGAACCAUGUAUGUACUUUGGUUUUAAUGCUCUGGAGAACUAUGUAUGUACUUUGGUUUCAGAGUUCAUUUCAAAUGUUUUUCAACUUCAUGGUCUUACAGCUUUGAAUGGUGCAUUUUAAACACAGAAAAACAAGGGAGUUCAAAUAAGUUCAAAAAAAUUGAAAUCCCUUUGUAACAGACGAGUUUCCGUAUGAAACCCUGAUACUUCGAAAGAGAUUGUCCGUUUUGUACACGAAGUGCAUCCAGUUUUUGCCUCUCUCUACUUUCUUACACAUGCUAUGUGGGUGAAAUGAUGAUACCAUGCCAACUUGGAACCUUUUCAGAGUUCAUUUGAAAUGCUUUUCAAUUUCAUGGUCUUAUAGCUCAAAAUAAUCAGUAAAUGCAUGAAAAAUAACAAAUGAAGUCAGAAAGGGUUGUAAAUUGAUGAUGUGGCUUUGAAUGGUGUAUUUUGAACACAGAAAAAUAAGGGGGUUCAAAUAAGUUCAAAAAAAUUGAAAUCCCUUUGUAACAAACGAGUUUCCGUAUGAAACCGUGAUACUUCGAAGGAGAUUGUCCGUUUUGUACAAGAAGUGCAUCCAGUUUUUUCCUUAAGCUCUCUACUUUCUUGCACNUUGUAACAGACGAGUUUCCGUAUGAAACCGUGAUACUUCGAAGGAGAUUGUCCGUUUUGUACACGAAGUGCUUCCAGUUUUUGCCGUAAGCCUCUAUAAUUUCUUGCACAUGCUAUGUGGGUUAAAUGAUGAUAACAUGCCAACUUGGAACUUUUUGAGAGUUCAUUUCAAAUGCUUUUCAAUUUAAUGGUCUUAUAGUUGAAAAUAAUCAGUAAAUGCAUGAAAAAUAACAAAUGAAGUCAGAAACAAAAUAAAAUAAAAUAAGUAAGUAAUUUGAAACAAAAUAAUAUAAACUUUAAUAAAAUAGAUAAGUAGAAACAAAAAAACUUUAAUAACAUAAAUAAAAUUUGUGAAACUAAAAUUAUCAAAGUAUUUUCUGUUCAAAACAUUAUAAGCAACUUCUAGUAUUAUUGAAACUAAAAUUAUAUAAAAUUCAUGCAACUAAAAUUAUCAAAGUAUUUUGUGUUCAAAAUCAUUAAAAGCAAAAAGAAUUUUCAUAAAGAACUUUUUUUGUUAGAAACUUUAAUAGCAAAAAAGAAUUAUCAUAAAAUAAAAUUAAUAAGUAAUUAUAAACAAAAUAAAAUAAAAUAAAUAAGUAUUUUCUUGUAAGUAGAAACAAAACAAAAUAAAUAAAGCAAAAAAUAAAACAAAAAAAUGGUAAAAAAGUAAUUGCCACCAACUGGGCCACCACGGCAUGAAUACGACUAGAAACCCAUCCAUGGGCCAGGAUUCAGGCCCGCAUUAGGCCCAGAAGGCCCAUCAGGCAAAGCAGUAGCAAGUAGGCCCGUAAGUCUGCAGUGGAGAGGAGCUCGAGAGGGGUGCGGCAGUGGGGCUUAUAAACCACUACGUGCCCCUCUCAACUAGCGAGGUGGGACUAAACUUUGGCCGCGACGCGGGCAGCCUUUGGUCCCGGUUGGUGGCACCAACCGGGACUAAAGGGGGUGCAUUGGUACCGGUUCGUGGCACCAACCGGGACCAAAGGCCGCCGCUUCCCGCCCUUUGGGCUGCUGAAAAGUGACCUUUAGUCUCGGUUGGUGCCACCAACCGGGACCAAAGGCCGCCGCUUCCUGCCCGUUGGGCUGCUGAAAAGUGACAUUUGGUCCCGGUUGGUGGCACCAACCGGGACUAAAGGGGGCAUUGGUACCGGUUGGUGCCACGAACCAGUACCAAUGGCUUUGCUAUAUAAGCCAGCAGUUGUGAAAAUUUUGUCAGUUUCCUCGAUUCCUCCGACGACGCCGCUAGGCUGCCCGAGCUCGCUGUCGUCGCCCCUGCCCCCGACCACGCCGUCGUCGCCCCUGCCCCCGACCACGCCGCCGUUGUCCGGCCCGACCACGCCGUCGUCGCCCCUGCCCCCCGACCACACCGCACGCCCUCGUCGUGCCUCUACCGCGCACCUACCUGCCCCGUCGACGUCGUUGCCGCCCUUUGCCCCGUCGAUCGCCAUCGCCCCUGCCCCGACCACGCCGCCGUCACCGCCCUCUACACCGAUGCCAGCGCCAUGCCUCUCCUUGGUCAGGCCGGCGCCGCCCACCCUGUCCUCUCCUUUUGUUCAUAUAAAUGAUGAUUUUUUUGUAUUUUUAUAAAAAUGUAUAUAUGUAUGUAUGUUCUCUGUGCAUAUAAAAGUUAGAUUUUUAGUACAUUUGGGUACAUUUUAGAUUAGUUUUAUCUAUAUAUGUUCUCUGAUUUAGUACAUUUUAGGUUAGUUUCCUUUUUAGAAAAGUUUUAUAUAUUUAGGAAAAGAAGGAAGAGAAGGAAGAAGGAAGAAUGAAGAAGAAGAAAAAGUUUUAUAUAUGCAAAAUUUACAUUUUUAGAAAAGUAUUAUAUAUAGCUAGGAAGAUAACGAAGAAGAAGAAAAAGAAUGAGAGGAGAAAAAGGAAAAUAAGAAGAGGAAGAAAGGAGAAGAAGAGGAGACGAAGAAGAGGAAAAAUAAAUAAGAAGAGGAAAAAAGAAGAAAAAGAAGAGGAAAAAAUAAUUUUCUAUUUUUUUCUUCUUUCUCCUCUAUUCCUUUCUUCUUCUCUUUUUUUCUUCGAUUGCUUCUCUUCUAUUCCUUUCUUCUUCUCCUCUUUUUAUUUCUUAUUUUGUCUUCUUAUUUUUAUCGGGUAUGUCGUUGUCGAUGUACCCCCUACCGAUCAAACUUCAACACGAGGGGGGUACCGAUAUACCCCCUCCCCGAUAACAUUAUUUUCCCAUGUAUAUGUAUGUCGCGUCGUUGUCGAUAUAACCCCCUCCCGGAUAACUUCGACAUGAGGGGCGGUCGAUAUAUAUACCCACUCUCGACCAUGAUAACUUAUACCACGGGAGCACCCCCCCUCGGCUCUCUCGCUCGACCGAAACUCUCGAGGACACCCAAACCCUAGAGAAAAAACGAUGUUGGUCUCCUACCCCCUCCCGCCGCGCCCCUACCCGACAAACUCUCUCGAGGCCACCCAAAUUUACCAAGUUAAAAGAGUGUUAUCGUCGAGGCCACCCCAAACCCUUGAAGCGUUGUGUCGAGGCCAUCCCAAACCCUUGAAGCGUCGUCUAGGCCACCCCAAACCCUAGAGAAGCAGCGUCGAGGCCACUAACAUGAUUCCUUAUUAUGAUUAGCUAGCUAGUUCUACGUUUUCCACUAAUAUAUAUCCAUCUAUUCCAUGUUUGAAUAAUAAUUGACAUGUUGUAAAUAUUUGCAGAAACUAUGGAUCCCUCCCGAGACGAAGCAUCAGAAGCGAUGUUGGGGGAGAUAAUCGCACAAGAAAGUGAUGUCAUUGUGUCGUUUCUCUACGACACCGAUGGUCAGGAAGGACCGGGUGAAGAAGAGGGCUAUGCUCAUGAUGGCUCCGGUGACCCAUUAAUGCCAAUACAAGAAGAGGGCUAUGUUCAUGAUGGCUCCGGUGACCCAAUGGAGGUACAAGAAGGAGACUGUGAUGACGGCUCCGGUGACCGAACCGAGUCCGGCCAGGUAUAUAUAUAUUAGUUAAGCCCGUGCUGACUAGUUAAUUGAUGCAUUCAUUGUUUUCAUAUGUACACAUAUUAAUUAACUCUCGUCUUUCUUCUUUUUUCUCUAGCCUUCCGGAUCGAGCUCAACUUCGGUAAAGAAACGAGGCCCGAAGAAAAGUUGCGCUCGGAUGAAAGGUUUGAGAUCACAGCAAUCGCGCCCGAUGGCAAGCCGAUUGAACCCAUCCGGACAAGGGUUGCAUUUCGUGCUCAGUGCGGGGUUCUUGUUAGGGACAAGAUCUCGAUCAGUAUCCAGCAAUGGUUAAAGCCAAAGAAGGAAGACCCUGAGGUGCCGACGUCUUAUGUCUCCGAUAUGCAGAAAGAAGAUUUUUGGACAACGCUUAAGGCAAUUUUCACCUUACCGCCAGAGGAGGAUCCGGAAAAGCUAGUUAUAGAGCAAUUGAUCAAGUCUCAUGCUCUUAAGAAGAUGGCAAAACUAUUCAGGAGGUGGAAGAAUGAGCUGAAAACGUUUGUCGACAAAGAAGAGACACCAGAAUUCACUAGCCGGUUUGAGAAGAUAAGAGAUCAGUGGCCCGCAUUUGUGGCCCAUAAGACAUCGGAAAAGAGUAAGAAGAUGUCAGCGACAAACAAGAAAAAUGCUGCGAAGAAGAAGCAUCACCAUCGCACGGGGUCAGGUGGUUACCUCAAAGCCCGACCUUUGUGGGAGAAGGCUGAGAAUGACCUGAUUGCUAAAGGGGUCGAAUCAGAGACAUUGAGAUGGACAAACCGUUGCCGGACUUGGUUCUUCGGGGUUGGCGGAACCUUGGACCCUGUAUCAAGGAAGUGCGUUUGGACGGAAGAGCAACUGCGAAUACCCGUCACGAAGCUUCGGCACUAUAUCGCCGCAGCACAGGAAGGGACGUUCGUUCCAGACAGAGAGAAGGACGAGCUGACAAUGGCCCUCGGGAAUCCUGAGCACCCUGGACAGACACGAGGCACGCCAGGCUCCCUUCCGUGGAACGCUGGGUUUCCGGACGCAGGGGGUUAGAAAACCCAGGAGAGGAGGAAGAAAGUGGAGCAUAGCCAACUGCAGGCGCUGCAUGAAAGGGUACAAGGGCUAGAGGAACGAGAAGCAGAUCGCAGCAAACGACCUGCCGAAGCUUCCCCUGAAGCUACCCCGCCAUCUCAGCGGAGAAGCAGCAUGGCUUCCACCGAGCAGACUCAGCAUCUGGAGCCUGUCUUCACGGGCUACCCCGUGGAUGCUAUCACAGAGUCUCAACAUUGCCACCUUAUGACGCGAUGGAUGACAUUCAAAGUCAAGGCGGUUGUUGGCUCUGUUUUCCCUAAUGAACCUGGCUCAACCUACCACGGCCAGCCGAUUCCAGAAGGAUAUGCUAAGGUGAUGGUGGAUCAAAUAACGGACGGAUUUGAGGACCUUGAGCUUGACCACCCUACGGGUGAAGGGGAGAUUCGGCUGGGUUCUUCUCUGAAGACUACAUGCCUAUGGCGGAAGCAGCUCAGCAAGCUUCCGAACUGGACGCCUCCGCCUCCUCCUCCUCCUCCGGCGAGACAGGACACUCCGCCUCCUCCGGCGAGUGAUCAGGGCACUCAACCUCCUUCUCCGGCGCAUGGCGGCACUCCGCCUCCUUCUCCGCCUGCACCGGCGCACCCGAGCAGCCAGCUGUCUCCUCCUUCUCCGCCUCGUCAACAAGGGCGAAAGAGACCCGCCGCCGCACCGGCUCCUCCGGCGCGUCGUCCUUCUGCUUCGCCUCGUAAGAAAGGAAAGACAGCCGCAGCCGCUCCGUCUGCUCCGGCGUCUAGCAGUACAGCCAGAGGCAGGCAAUACAGAUACGGUCCUUCUCUGAAGACUCCAGAGAAGUUAUCAUACGAGAGGAGCUAGGAGGAAAUCACGAAGAUCGUGGAAGCCGAAGUGAAGACCUUCUUUGAAGGGGUGAAAGCAAAAAAACAUCCACCUCCGGAGGAGAAGAUAGAUCCGGUAAAAGCAAAGCGUACUCUGGAUGCCCUGAAGAAACCACCAAAGUCUCCGACGAAAGGCAACUAUGAGCGCAUUGUUACAAAGUCAUUUAUCGAAGCGCAGCGGUCGGGAAGUACUGUCAGUGAUCAAAGGUUAGCAGAACGACGAGCUGGGAAAAAAGUUGUCCAGCUCGGCGAACAAGCGAACCAAUCGUUCCCCCCGCUCAAGGUGUCUAGCGAUAUCGUCGCUAAUCAUCCGGGGAUCUUGUUGCCCGGUACCAAUCCUGUAGAUUACCUGCCCGAUGAUGCACAUUUUGAUUUAUUGGAGGUGGACGAACACAAAUACGUGUACGGGAAGCCUCUCGUCAAAGAUGAAAGAUCCCUAACAACGAUGAUGCGAAGAUUCCAUGAUUGGUACAUGAAAACUUCCAAAGAGUCUAGGGGGAGUAAUAUUUUGACGCUGGGAGUUAGAAAGGAGCAUGACCUCGUUGGACUUGAACUGUUGAUGGUUCCAUUUGAGGAGUUCUUCCCGUUUUUCAAUCUAAAGGCCCUCGAUAAAUUAAUGAUCACUUGCUACUACCUGUAACUAGUACUACUUCUGUCAUUAAGUCUUUAUAUAUAGGUGAGCUCUUUCAUUGCAUGUAUUUUUAAUUAUCCUCGCUAUAUUAUAUGCAGAUUGAAGAUCGUCGAAUUAAAGAAAAGACAAAUCGGUGAUAUUGGGUUCAUUAACACAAAUCUCGUAGAUGCAUUUAUGAUUAAAUCUCAGGCCAAAGAUACCGAGGCCAACCUGCUACAAUCGUUUGUAUUGAAUCAAAACAAAGCUAUAAUACUCUUCCCUUACGAAUUCCAGUGAGUGUUACUGUCUUGUGCAUAUUCGGUUUCCCUUAUUAGUCAAGGUUAUAGUAAUGUAAUUGAUGAGUUAUGCAUGCGUGUGCAGCUUCCACUAUAUUCUCCUAGAGAUUAAGCUUGAGCAGGGACUACUAACCGUCUUAGACUCAAGACGAAAAGAUCCCAACGAGUAUGCGGACAUGAUUGAAAUUCUAGAGAAGUAAGUUAAAUCGAUCAUUAUUGCACCAUAUCGGCAACUUUGUUCAUUUCCUGAUAUCAAGUAAUUGUUUUCUUUGUCUGACAGGGUUUGGAAAAAAUUCACCGCAAAAACUCCGGGACUGCCGAAGAAGCUGCAAUUUAGACACCCGAAAGUAAGUACUAUAGUAGCAUGUUCCAUGCGUCUCCUAGUGAUUCAAGCGCUAGUUUCAUCAAUACCAUUUAGCAUGCUUGCUAACUAUCAGUUUGAUUGACCUCUAUUUCCUGUAAAGUGGUUGUGGCAGGAACCAGGGAAUGAUUACUGUGGAUACUACAUUUGCGAGUCCAUCCGCCACGUGACCUGUGAGCGGGGCUACUCUGACAAACAAUAUGACGUGCGUAAAUAAUAAUAUUCACAAUUUUAUUUUAUUACCAUCAUUUGUGUUCAGUUUCAUUUAUUCAUAUAUAUGUAUUGACCCCCUUCUUCAAAUUAGAUAUAUCGGAUGCGCAAUGAACUCCUACCAGCAGAUCGUAUGCGAGGAAUUCAAGAGGAAUUGGCGGCAUUCUUUCUUGACCACGUGGUCGCUUAAGACGGAGAAUACCAUGUGAACCCUAACGAGUUGAAUUUUAAUUAGGAGAUUAUAUUAUAAGAGAUAAUUAUAUUGUAUAUAUGUAGCCAGUAGUGUCGGAUAGAUAUACGAGAACUUGUUGUUCGACCAAUCUCUCAGAGAAGGCGAGGUGGUCGAUAUCACUUCUCUUUGUAUGCAUAUGUUCAUGACGAUCUUCUGUUUCCUUCAUUUGCUUACUAGCUACCGUGUCUAGUCCUCUCUAUACGUAUAGUAUGCAGCGUCGACCAAGCACGGAGAUAAGAGAUGACACUUCUCUCUAUUAAUUAGCUAGCUAACACAAUAUAUGAAACACCUAAAUUAACCCCCCAAAACCCCUAAACCCCCCNNNNNNNNNNNNNNNNNNNNNNNNNNNNNNNNNNNNNNNNNNNNNNNNNNNNNNNNNNNNNNNNNNNNNNNNNNNNNNNNNNNNNNNNNNNNNNNNNNNNNNNNNNNNNNNNNNNNNNNNNNNNNNNNNNNNNNNNNNNNNNNNNNNNNNNNNNNNNNNNNNNNNNNNNNNNNNNNNNNNNNNNNNNNNNNNNNNNCCCCCCCCCUCAAAAAAAACCCAUCACCUGAAAUGCUGACGCGUGGAUGCCUUUUGGUCCCGGUUGGUGUCACCAACCGGGACUAAAGGCCCCCCUGUCCGGGCUCGCCGCACCGGCCACGUGGAGGCCCAUCUGUCUCGGUUCGUGCAAGAACCGGGACUAAAGACCAAGGGCAUUAGUAACGACCUUUUAGUCCCGGUUCCAAAACCGGGACAGAAGGCCCUUACGAACCGGGACAAAAGGCCCUUUUUCUACUAGUGUACUUUGAUGUUUGAGAAAUAGAUUGUAAGUUUUCUCGCAAAAAUAACGUGCAUGGAUAAAGCACACAACAGCAAACCAAGCUUCUCUGGAAAGAAAUUCGCAUAAAAUAAACAUGCAUGCACAUUGGUAGUACACAUUUAUGUUUUGAUCACCUUCUAACGCAACAUUUGGUUUCGGAAGAAUAGGCUUCACCUAAUUCACAAACACGGUGCGCACCACUAUUUUUAACAGACACUCAAACAGAAUCACCGGAAAUAAUAGAAUAAAAGCAGUUCUUCCUAUGCAAAAAUUGAAAAAUGGGAUAUGCAUUGGCUGUUUGGAUUCCACUUUUUACCCUGUAGUUGUAAAUUUUUGACAUAUAUUACCCCACUUAGUGGAACUUUCAUAGAAAUAUCAGAUUUUGGAAAUUAUUAGCAUGGUUUUUCCCCGAUUUUGCACUUCCCUUGUUUAUGUUAGAUAGGAUCGUCAUGUUGCAGCAAUGAUUCAUAAAAAAAUCUGUAAAGAUUGGAAGGCAUCAUUGACGAUCAUGUCGAGACUUCUCUUAUCCAUUUGUUCCAUUCCUUGUCAUCGUCCACAUAUAUUUGGACCUCGGGCGUCAUCUCACACUUGCAUGAUGAACACACUUCAGAAAACAAGGAUUCAAAGCUUCCAAAAGGGUUAUUCUAGAUGAAUUUUCACUCGGUAGGGUAAUUAGUGUCACAAAUGUACAACUGCAGGGUAAAAAGUGGAAUUCACUCUUAGAUAGUAUUGUGCACAAGUGAUCCUGUGGAGCUUCGUGUUCACUAUGGGCAAAUUCCUCGAGUAUCGAUUAUAUGUUAAAAAAUGACUCCACCAUGUAGCUGGCGUAGAAUCUGUAACAUACCCCAAAGAUCUUUUUUUCUUCUAAAAAAGGAGGCUAUGCCUAGAAGACAUCGAAGAUAUGUGACAGACAUUGAUAACAUCACAGAGAAUGCCAAAGGAUACAUCAAAGUGAUGGUCCGCACGCGGAGACAAUCGCGUCAAAUGAUAUAUUUUCUUUCAAUGUGUAUUUGAUUAAAUGAAUAAGCAUUUGUUGUAUGUAGAUGGUGGAUGUCGACCCCCUAACUCGCAUAGGUAUAAAACUAUAGAUUAUGCUACUCCGAGGAAAGUUGAUUCACAUUGUUAGAAUUGAAUAUGUUGACACGGCACUUCGUGGCUUGUAGUCUUUGGCUGAUGUACCGAUGAUAGAUUCACCAAACUGUCAACCAUUGUAAGAUCGAGCGGUUGAAGUUAGCUUUGGUUCAGUCUUCACCAAUCAAGCUAUUAUAUUCAUAUAUGCGCAAGACUCCUAACCUUAUGAUAAAAAAAAUAGUGUUGAUCGGAUGAACUGAAUUAUAAUAAGCAAACAUAUAAGUAUGGAGUAUGAACUGAGUGUGCAUAAAGCGCGUGAAUAAAAGUUUGAAGCCGUUCACCACGGAUCCUCAGUGUGUGUAAAUCGUUAACUGUAGUCCUAAAAGUAUUCCAAGUGUGUCAAGUAGGUUCUAUAAGUCACGGCUAAAAUGAACAUAUAGAACCCGUGAUGAAUGAUUUCAAAGUUUUAGGACCUACUUGACACACCUGAAAUAUUUUUAGGACCUCCGAUGUAUUUUACUCUUAUUAUUAUUAUUAUUAUUGUUAUUAUUAUUGUUAUUGUUAUUAUUAUUAUUAUUAUUAAGAAGGAGGUUAUGCCAUCGGUAGAUCAAAGAUCUUUGAUAGAGGCCUUUUGAUGACAUCAUAACAUAUGUCUUGUAUACGUGGGGUGAUGGUGCAAGCAUUACGCGUGGAGACUUUGAUGCCACAUGAUAUAUGUUUGUUCAAUGUGUAUUUGAUUUUGAAUAAUUAAGCGUUUGUUGUAUGUGGAUGGUAGAUGUCGACCCCCUAGCUUGCAUGCGUAGACAACUUGAUAUUAUGCUAUUACAUGGAAAGUUGCUUCACAUUAUUGUUAGAAUUAAAUAUGCCGGACAGCGCCAAUGACACGGCACUUCAUGGCUUAUAAUCUUUAGCUGAUUUUGAAUAAUUCACCGAAGUACCAAAUCAUUGUAAGGUUCAGCGGUUAAAAUUAGCCUCCGUUCUACCUUCACAAACCGAGCUAUUCCAUCUAUAUGGGCAUGACCGCCUGACCUUAUGAUGAAAGAAUAUUGUUGACCAUUUGAACUGAAUUAUAACAUGCAACAAUACAAGUUAGAGUAUGGACUGAGUGUACACAAACGCUCAUGAAUAAAGCACAACAACAAACUAAGUUCCUAUGAAAAGAAACGUGAAUAAAAUAAGCAUGCAUCUACAUUGGGAGUACGCAUAUAUAUUUUGAUCACCUUCUAACAAACUAAGUUCAUAUUAUUAUUAUUCUCCGGAUAGAGUUUAUGCCUAGGAUACAUCAAACAUCUUUGAGAGACACUAACGCCAUUUUGAUGACAUCAAGGUAGAUGCCUCGUAUACGUGGGGUGAUGGCGCAAGCAAUACGCGUGGAGACCAUCGCGCCAUAUGAUAUAUUUUUGUUCAAUGUGUGUCUAAUUUUGAAUAAAUAUGUGUUUGUUGUAUGCGGAUGGUGGAUGUGGAUCCCGUAGCUUGUAUACGUAGACCACUCUAGAUUAUGCUAUUUCAUGGAAAGUUCCUUCACAUUAUUAGAAUUAAAUAUGUCAGACGGCGCCAAUGACACGGUAAUUCAUGACUUUUAAUUUUUAGCUCACGUGUCAAUGAUAGGUUCACCGAAGUCCCAAAUCAUUGUAUGAUUGAGCGUAUGAAAUUAGCCUCGUUUCUACCUUCACAAACCGAGCUAUUACAUCUGUAUGGACAUGACCCCCAGACCUUAGGAUGAAAAAGUAGUGUUGACCAGUUAAACUGAAUUAUAAUAUGCAACAAUAUAAGUAAGAUUAUGAACCGAGUGUAGAAAAAUGCGCAUGAAUAAAGCACAACAACAAACUAAGUUCCUACGAAACGAAACUCCAAUAAAAUAAGCAUGCAUGUACAUUUGGAGUACACAUUUAUAUUUCAAUCACCUUUUGACCCGACAUUUGGCUUCAUAACGAUAGCCUUCAUCUAAUUCACAAACACGAUGCGCACCACAAUUUUCAGUACACACCUGAACAAAAUAAUCAGGGAGAAUAGAAUAAAAUCAUGUCUUCCUAUGCAAAAAUUAAAAUGGGGCAUGCAGGGGUUGUUGGAUUUUCGUGAGAUGUCACAUAGUAUUGUGCAUAAGAGCCUCUCCAGCAGACGCGCUAUCGCAGCAUGCUAAAAGGUUAUACAAUGCUGAAACGCUGGCUCAUGAUUUUGAAUAAUUGAUCUUCUAUUCAAAAUAUAUUCGUGAAUCUGAAAAACAUGUUCAUGAAAUUUUAUAAAAUAUUCAAAAAAAUUGUUUGCGAAUUUCAAUUUUUGUUCCCCAGUUUUUGAGAAGUUGAUCGAUUCAAGAAAUGUUUGCUGGGUCAAAAAAUGAAUACUUCAAAAAAUGUUUGUCUAAACAAGACAAAUGUUCAUGAAUUUUUAAAAAAAUGGCCGAAUUUAGAAAAAUGUUUGUCGAUUCAAAAAACUGUUUGCCAAUUAAAAAGUCUUUUAUGUCAAGGAUUCAAUUAGUUUUUGGAAAGUCUUUUUUAGUCUAAGCGUUGGGGGUAGUUUGUGGAGUUGGUAUUUCUUUAUAAAGUUUUAAACAUUCCCUCGAGCGUCACAAUGUCACAAUGAUGUGUGUCUCGGGUAAUGGCAAGCUCAUUGCCUUGGGAUUUACCAUGCCGAAUGCAUUGCAAUCACGUAGACAUCGCGUCCAUCAUCACCGAGGGUGGAAAGAAAGAUAGGUGGCAACAUGAUGAGCCAUGGUGUUAGAACAAAGGACGCUCAUAUGUCGGGGUAUUGAGUCAUACUCGUUUGACUAACCUGUAAUUUUUUCAUCUCCCGUUGCAGCGCACAUUCAUGUUUGCUAGUACCGCUGAAAAAAAAGUAUAGAUUUUCCCCUCAAAAUGUGGUUAUUGGCAUCAAAUACCCCCUCAACUUGAAACAGGAUCUUUAGGCCCUUAAAAUGUAGCAAACCGGUUUAUCCGGUUUGCCAGAUUUUAGGGGCAUAAAAAACAUGUUUUGGAGUUGAGUGGGGUAUUUGAUGCCAAGAGCCACAUUUGAUGGGGAAAUAUAUACUUUUCUUGUAAAAAAAUUAGUAGUGGGCCCUAUUUACUGAACAGGCCUAAAUACAGCAACAUUUUAUUUUAUUUUUGGCAAAUGCUACUACAUAUGGAUUGAUAAAAACAAGAAAGAAGCCCAAGGUUGCUCUCUAAUUAUCACUAAGGUUUUAAGAACAUACAACAUAUUAGGUUGCUCUCUAAUUAUCACUAAAGUUAGUACAAAGUUGAGAUUUCUGCAACAACAUGGCCAUUCAGCUAGUCAAUAUAAAAGCUGUAAAAAAGGAAAGAGGCUAAAAAGGUAAUCCAUAUCGGUGUACCAUGGUAGGGUUUAUUCCUUUGCGGGAAUACCAUGGUAGUUUAUUUAGUGCACUGGUAUGAUGAAUCAUCAACUCCAUUUGCCCAGCAAACUAUCAGGUUAGCAAUCUCUAUCUGGUAAAACUAGUACAAAGAGUUUGUGUGUUUGAUUAUUUGCUAUUUCUACAACAAUGGCUCAAAUGGCAUUAUCAAAAAACUCAUCAGGAGACAUUGGCCAGAUCGGCCGACCAUUAGAAAGUGUAAGAGAAAGAGUUAAGAAACUCUAAGCAAGACUUGGAUUCAGUUAAACUUGCUUUGCGCCAAUUCUGGUCAACUGUCAGUGCAGCAAAAAUGCAAAAGGACCUCAUGGCAAAGGUAAUGAACAAUAAUUUGUUCUCAACAGAAUAACUACAUGUCAGACUACUGCCCAUCCUUCUUUGACCAAGUUUCGUGUGGGCCAAUCAAAGGGACAUGAGUCUGGAGAUUAACUGACCAAGCAUGCCUGAAUUGGAUGGAUCACCAAGCUGAAGAAUUUCGACUGAAGAAUUAGAUGACCAGGACCAAGGAUAAAACAAACCAGUGCCAUCACAUUUACGCCUACACCCCCUCAGCAUAAAACACAGCAGGAUAUAAAUAUUACACCCUAGAACAUUCCACACAUGACUAAAUAUGAUUCGAAGAAGAGGAAAAGCAGUAACAACAACAGAGAGAAAAGAUGAAAACGAGGACUACACUCGCAUCAGUGUCUCUGAAGGCUUUAUGCAUACCUCUUCCGUUCAUGACCCCUUCAGUCAAAGAAGAUCCUUCUUAAUCAGCUAAAUUCCACAAUAUUUGUUCUUAUUAUUUCUGCUGCAAGGCAUAUGCGUUCAAUGUAAAAGCUAAAAAAAAAUAUUGUAAUAAAAGCAAAAGCGUAAAAGUAUAGCAUUCAGGUUCCAUAACCGUGUUUCAUGGUAGUUUAUACUGCACUGGUAUAUGGAACAUUAACUCUAUUUGUCCAGCAAACCGACAAAACGAACAAGGAAUCUGUGUAUUUCAGUUAUUUGAUAUUUCUACAACAAUGGCUCAAAUGGCAUUAUCAAAAUUUCAUUUGGAGACAAUGGCCUCACCGGCUGACCAUAAAAAUAUUAAGAGAAAAAGAGUAAGAUACUCUACACAAGACUUGUCUUCUACUCCCUCCGUCCCAAAAUAAGUAUCUCAACUUUGUACUAACUUUAGUACAAAUUAGUACAAAGUUGUAUUAGGGUUGAGACACUUAUUUUGGAACGGAGGGAGUAUUAAACUUGCCUUGUGCCAAUUAAGGUCAACUUGUCAGUGCGGGAAAAGGGCAAAAGAAACUCUCAAGUCUGCACCCUUCAUCAUAUGCCAGGUGCAUGACCAAUAUUUUGUAGGUGACUGCUAAGCGAGAUGCAGCUCUUCCGCCUCAAUCUGGACGCUCUCCACACAAAUCUCUGUUCUGACAACUCUUUUAACAUGGGAGAAUGGUUUACCAGGAAGGGUAGUAUUGCGGCCUGUCGGUGUUGCAGCAUUUGAUCUCAACCAAUUUUCUCACUGUUUGUUAACUGCAAUUGCACACAUAACCAAAUAAGAUUCAGGGCAGAAGAGAAGCAACACCUAAAGGAAGAUCCUCUGUUCUGUUCUGUUGGCGGUUGUGUCACUUCUAAGCUUUUAUAGUAGUCUGCUAAAUCCAAUUAAAUCACCACCCUUUGUCUACCAUGACAUUUCCAUGCUCAUGGAUUCCGUCUUCACUACAUUUUGUGGCAAGGUUGGGUUCGCCUUUUGUAUUUCCUUGGAUCAAUAAGUAAAAAAAAACGUAAAAAAGGAAAGGCGAAAGAAAUAUCAUUUAGGUUGCAUAUCUCUGUCUCAUGGUAGUUUACUGCACUGAUACUACAUAUAAGCAAUUAAAUUUGUCCAGCAAAGUAACACAACUACAAAAAAAAAUCCAUGUAUUCAGUUAUUUGCUAUUUCUACAACAAUGGCUCAGAUGGCAUUAUCGAACAAUUCAACAGGAGAUGUUGAUCCGACCGGCUGACCAUAAGAAAGGCGCACGAGAAUAAAAAGAAACUCUAUGACAAGACUUGGGUUCUGUUAAACCUGUCUCGUGCCAAGCCCGGUCAACCGCCAGUGCAGGAAGAAGGCAGAGGAAAGACCUUGUGGCCGCACCAUUCAUCCUAUGCCAAAUGUAUGAACAAUAGUUUGUUCUCACCAGAAAAACUACAGGUCCCCAUAAAAAAGGAUAACUACAUGUCCCCAUAGAAAAGGAUAACUACAGGUCAGACCACAGUCCAUUGUUCUUUGACCAAGUUUCAUGUGGGCCAAUCCGAGUGACAUGAGUCUGAAGAUUAACUGACCAAGCAUGGCCUACACUGAUUGGGUCACUGAAGACUUGUGGUCGAAGAACUAGAUGAUCAGGUUCUAUUGACCAAGGAGAAAUCAACCAGUGCCAUCACAUUUACAUUAACACAUCCUCAGCAUAAAACACAGCAGGAUCCAAAAGAUUACACCCUAGAAUAUUUUCUUGUCCUCACUUUCACACAUAACUAAAUACGAUUCAAAGAAGAGUAAAAACAACAGCAACAACAACAAAGAAAGAAAGAUGAAAAGUAGGGCUACACAUUAACAUCCAUGUCCAUGAAGAUUGUGUACAUACCUGUUCAGUUCAUGAUUGUGCUGCUUCUAAAUUUUUACUGAUUCAUUCAGUUAAAGAAGACCCUUCUUGGUCUGCUAAAUAUCAUAACAUUGUCAUCGAUGGUCACCAUAAAAUUGCCAUAUCCGUGAAUUGUCAUUGGAUCAAUUUACAGUUUCGCUCUUUCUAUAAGUACCAUUGCUUUUACCAACUAUAGGUCAAUUUUGAGGCCAUAGAUUUAUCCAGACUGGUGUGCCACAUGAUUGCAUUUGUUUCAAUUAUUUCUUCAGCACAUGUAGACACUCAGGUAGUCACUAAUUAAAAGCUAAAAAGGCUGUAAAAAGCAAAGGCUAAAAAGAUACUAACAUAUAGGUUCCAUAUCUACGUGCCAUGGUGGUUUUGUGCAAUGGUAUUAUGAAUCAUUAACUCCAUUUGUCCAUCAAACCGAGAGAACUAUAAAGAAUCCAUUUCUUCAGUUAUUUCUACUUCUACAACAAUGGCUUGAAUGGCAUCAAUAUCAAAUUUUAAUCAGGAGACAUUGGCCUGACCGGCUGACCACAAGAAAGUGUACGGGAAAAAACAGAAACUCUACGCAAGACUUGGCUUCUCUUAGACUUGCCUUGUGCCAAUUACGGUCAACUGUCAGUGCAGGCAAAAGGCGAAAGAAAAUCCCAUAGCCGCACCCUUCAUCUUAUGCCAAAAGUAUGACCAAAAACUCGAAUGGCAUCAUUAUCAAAGUUUCAUCAGGAGACAUUGGCCUGACAGGCUGACCAUAUAAAGGUGUAAGAAAAAAGGGUAAGAAACUCUACACUGGACUUGGCUUCUCUUAAACUUGCCUUGCGCCGAUUCUGGUCAUUGUCAGUAUGGGAGAAAAGCAAAAGAAAAUUUCAUGGUUGCAACCUUCAUCCUAUGCCAAAUGUAUGACCAAUAUUUUGUCCUCUCACCAAAUAACUACAGGCCAGCCCUUCAGCUCUGUUGCCUCCAUCCACAGUAUACCGGAACUUGUACUUCCCAUCCACACGAACCAGCAGAGAUGCGGCAACACGGUCCUUUUGGUAAUAUAUCUCAAGAGCUCGAUCUCAUUAUCCUCCCAGGCAGAACCAUGCUGUCAGAGAAUUUCCAUGAAGAAUAGGGCAUCCUGAGUUUAUGGACUGUAUGUGGAUUGUCACUUGUAUGCAUCUGUAUAUGCAAUGUAUCAUCUCAAACAUUUCUGACCCAAGAGAAUCUUAAAUGGCUUAGCAAAAAUACACCUGGGGAAUACACUUCUUGCAACCCUGUGUCUUACAUGUGGGGUCACAACAUAGCCUACUGUUCUGGCUAGCUGCCUCCUGCCUGCCUGCUCAAAACCCGUGCAGCUCGGAAAUGGUCUGUGAGUGUACACUGCACUAUUUUAUCCCUGGUUCGGUGUGCGCAUCUUCUCUGCUUGUAAACUGCAGCUUUGACACCAAGUCAUCCAGGAUAACAUAUAUUUCCUGAUUCUCAGGUUGCCUCUCCCUAAUUUUAAAUUCAUUUGCGAUCUCAUUUAGAUCCACCAGACGGUGUCCAGGACUGAACCUCUCAUCGCUUUCCUUUAUGAUAGCCUUCACCCUGUGAGCAUCUUCCCAUCUUCCCGCCGAAGCAUAUACACUGCAUAACAGAGCAUAGUGAGCACAGUUGCUUGGUUCCAGCUCGAUCAACCUGAGGGCUAUACGUUCCCCAAGUUUCCAUUCCCCUCUGAACCGGCACAACCCGAGCAAACCGCCCAAUGCACGUGCCUUCAGCUCCUCUGGCACGCUCCUCAAGAGGCCCUCUGCUUCUUCCAGAAGGCCAACACUCCCAUACAGAUUCGCCAUGCACCAAUAGUGCGCGAAUGUUGGCCUGAGACUGUACGUCGUGGUCAUCUGGUUGAAAUAUGCCUUCCCAGCAUCCAGGAGACCUAGACGGGUACACGCGCAUAGUACACCAAUGAAAGUCACUUCAUCUGGUCCGAGAACCCAUUGGUCAUCUGAACCGUUCUUCCCUGAAAAGGCAGGCACAAGAUAUAUCAAACUUGAAAACGCAUGGAGCCUAACAGAACUACAAGCAUAUAUAGAAACCAAUGUACUCACCUCGUCCAAUCAUCUCUUGGAACAGCUGAAGCCCAUCACUGGGUUCGCCAUACACGCAAUGCCCGAUGAUCAUUGCAUUCCAGCAAACGACAUUGCGGACGUUAAGCCGAUCAAACACCUUCCUCGCGGCCGCCACCCUCCGGCACUUGCCAUACAUAUCAACCAGCGAGGUCCAGAACAAGAGGUUGUCCUCCUCAAAGCGGCGCAAGAACGCACAAUGCACCUCCCUCCCGGGCCCCAGCCUCCCCAGCCUGGCGCACGCGGUGGCCGCCCCGACCAUCGUCGUGGCGGUGCCCCUGACCCCGACCCCCGCCAUCCACCGCACCACCUCCAGCGCCUGCUGGGGCCGCUUGGCCUUCACAUACCCGUUGAUCAUGACGUUCCAGGACACGACGUUCCUGAGGAGCAUUCCGUCGAACAGCUGGCGCGCGGCGUCAACCCCGCCGCCCAGAGCAGCGGCGUGGGCCGUCAUCAUGGUGUUGUGGGACGCGAUGUCCCUGGAGGGCAUUUCGUCGAACAGGUGGCGCGCGGAGGGGAGGCUGCCGGCGGCGGCGUAGAAAUGGAGGAGCGCGUUGGCGGCGUGGGGCGGCAGCGCGAAGAGCAGGCCGCGGCGGAGCAGCUGCGCGUGGAGGGCGAGCGCGGCGGGGAGGUGGCGGCGCGGGGAGCGCGCGGAGGCGGCCGCGGAGAGGAGCGGCGGGAAGGCGAAGGCGUCGGGGAAGCCGGAGGCGGGGUGGGCGCGGAGGAGGUGGGCGAAGAGGGAGAGCAGCGCGGAGAAGGGCACGCGCGGGGCGGCGGCGCGGAGGGCGGCCGAGAGGGAGAAGAGCGGGAGGGGUGGCGGGAGGUGGCGGAGGAGGAGGCGGAGGAGGUGGGUGGCGGUGGUGGUGGCCGCCGCGGCGGAGAGGAGGAGGCCCGAGGGGACCGGGUGGCCGAGGAGGAGGCCGCGGCGGAGGAGGAAGGCGUGCGCGCGCAGCACGGCCCCGCGGGUGCGCAGGCCGCCGCGGAGGAAUGCGUGGAGGUCGUCGUCGGCGGCGGCGGGGGAGGAGGCCGAGGUGGAGGUGGCCGCCAUUACGGGGGGAGACGGAGGAGACGACCUCGGGGCGGCGGCGCCAUGGGGGGUGGAGCGGGCCAGACUCGGCGCCUGCUUCGGUUUAGGCCUGUUGGGCUCGGGCCGCUGGCGCUGACGGGCGGGGCCCACCUGCAGUCGGUGGGGGUUUUGGAUCUGCCACUUCCGUUGAGAUCUGAACUGAGAAGAUCAAAUCACCAUCUCAAAAAAUAGUGUUGGUUUAUUUGUAAUACCCUUUGCGCACCUCAUCCAAGUGUUCUAAAAAGGUUAGCAACUUCAUCCACAUCUCUCAUUACUAGUUUAGCUCAUUUCAAAUGCUCUAGAACUAGUGUGGUUUGUGGGUUCUAAUGAAGGAGUGUAUGUGUGAAUUUAUUUAGUUUAGAUGCACAAUUUAAGCUCAAACUAACUUUUUAGUAUGAACAUGUGUAGGGUGUCGUCCCGUCCCUGUGCCCGUCGUCCUCACCCCCGUCAAUCACCCCUGUCGACAUCGUCGCCGCACCACCAUGAUGAGCCUCUUGUUCUUAAUUAUAUUUUUUUAAAUAAAAAAUUCUAACUUGUAUGAUUUAUAUAGCUACUUGUAUAAUUUUCUUAUUUUUGUAAUUGCUUGUUAUUAUAUAGUGACAUGGUUUUGGUAUCCGCCCCCGUCGGCUCUCGUCCGGUCUAGGAUUCAGAUGUGGUACAUUAUCUUUUAUAACCAUUUGUUUUAUUUAGUGUUUAUGAAAAUUAUGCCGACCAACUUGACAUAGAUGUCUUUAUCUAGGAGGUAUGUGAAUGGAAAAUUUCAGCCGAUCCUCUUGUCGAGAGGUUAAAUCUAGUUGAAAAAAAACAAUUAUUUGGAAAAAGUUGAAAAGAGUUGAUGAAGGGAAGAUGAAAUUGGAGUUGCAUGUUGUUGAUGUCGUCGAUCUACACAAGAUAUAGAAUGCAAUGCGCUUGAAGAUUAGAAAGGUUAGAAAAUAUGUCAUUGAUAAUGAGGCUUGAUAUCAUUAUGUUGUUGGAUUAAUUGUUACCUUAGUUGCGAUUUUGAUUGCAUUUGUUGUUGCAUUUAAAUGUUUUACAUAGUUGUAUGUUAGUUUCAGUGUAUGUUUUAGUUAGAUGCUUUAGAGAGUUGUAUGUUGUUCUAUGAGAACUAUAUAUAUGAACUUUAUGUAUUU
This 63319-nucleotide long non-coding RNA is filed under the name Hordeum vulgare. RNAcentral describes it as "long non-coding RNA (HVUL_LNC000061)". The record is from RNAcentral. Lineage: Eukaryota; Viridiplantae; Streptophyta; Magnoliopsida; Poales; Poaceae.